GGGCUUGCCUCUAGCUGCCAAGGUAUUAGGAUGUCUAAUGCAGUCUAAAAGAACAAGAGAAGAGUGGGAACGUGUUUCAUCUAGCGAACUGUGGAGGCUAGAUGAGGUUGAUAGAGAUCAGGUUGAAAGACGAAUAUUUAUACCUUUGCUUUUGAGUUACUAUGAUUUACCUUCUGUGGUAAGACGAUGUUUCUUGUAUUGUGCCAUGUUUCCAAAAGACUACGAGAUGGGAAAAUAUGAAUUGGUGAAGAUGUGGAUAGCUCAAGGUUACCUCAAGGAGACUUCAGGUGGAGAUAUGGAGCUUGUAGGAGAGCAGUACUUUCAAGUCUUAGCAGCGCGCUCUUUCUUUCAAGAUUUUGAGACGUAUGGUCGAGAAGGUAUUAGAUUCAAGAUGCAUGAUAUAGUGCAUGAUUUUGCCCAAUAUAUGACAAAAAAUGAAUGUCUAACAGUGGAUGUCAAUACACUUGGAGGAGCAACAGUGGAGACUUCAAUUGAAAGGGUUCGUCAUUUAAGCAUGAUGCUGCCCAACGAGACCUCUUUUCCCGUGUCCAUUCACAAAGCAAAAGGUCUUCGCAGCCUCUUGAUCGACACUAGAGACCCUUCGCUUGGAGCUGCACUACCUGAUUUAUUCAAGCAGUUGACAUGCAUCAGGUCAUUGAAUUUGACAGGGUCUCAAAUCAAAGAAAUACCAAACGAGGUAGGGAAAUUGAUACAUUUGAGACACCUCAAUUUGGCAAGGUGUGUAGAGUUGGAGUCCCUGCCAGAAACCAUGUGUGAUUUAUGCAAUCUGCAAUCCCUAGACGUUACUUGGUGUCAGUCUCUCAAGGAAUUGCCCAAGGCGAUUGGAAAACUUAUCAAAUUGAGGCAUCUCCGGAUUGAUAGUUCAGGAGUGGCCUUCAUACCUAAGGGAAUAGAGAGGAUAACAUGUCUUCGAACAUUAGAUGUGUUUAAUGUGUGUGGUGGUGGUGAGAAUGAAAGUAAAGCAGCUAAUCUAAGAGAAUUAAAAAACUUAAAUCACAUUGGAGGGAGUCUUAGUAUACCGAAUCUAGGAGGAGGUAAAGAAGAUGCGAGUGACGCUGCAGAAGCACAACUCAAGAAUAAGAAGCGCCUGCUUAGUUUGGAAUUGGGUUUCGACAGAGAGAAAACAGAGUUGCAAGCGAAUGAAGGCUCUUUAAUUGAAGCUUUACAGCCUCCGUCAGACUUGAAAAAUCUAACCAUAACUAGGUACGGAGGGUUGGAUUUGCCAAAUUGGAUGAUGACAUUAACCAGAUUACAGGAACUGACACUCAUUGACUGUACAAACGUGGAGGUCUUGCGUCCGUUGGGUAGAUUGCCCAACCUUGAAGGCCUGGUAUUGAUGUUGUUGAAGGGGAGAAGGUUGGAUUUUGGAUUUUUAGGUAUAGAAAAAGAUGAGAAUGCCAGUAUUAAUGAAGGAGAGAUUGCAAGGGUCACUGCUUUCCCCAAAUUAAAAACACUUUGGAUUUUGAAUCUUGUAAAAGUAGAAGAGUGGGAAGGAAUUGAAAGGAGAGUGGGAGAAGAAGAUGCCAACACAACUUCAAUAAUAUCCAUUAUGCCACAGCUUCGACUGUUGAUGAUUGAUGGUUGCCCGUUGUUGAGAGCACUACCAGACUAUGUUUUGGCAGCGCCUCUACAGGAACUACGCAUAAUUAGAUGCCCCAAUCUAAGGAAACGUUACGGGAAGGAGGAGAUGGGUGAAGAUUGGCAAAAGAUUUCUCACAUCCCAAAGAUUUCUAUUAAAGAAUAGUUAAGACACCACUACGUACGGAAGUCUGUAGGACCGGCAGGAAGAGGUAUGUUUGAUAUACCUCUUUACUGUAUAUUGUUGACUUUGGAUUGUAUUUCCUACUUACCAUUUAUUCUAUCAAAUGCAGCAUAAAAUUACCUCUCUCUCACAUCCUCUCUCUCCCUCCCAACAUAUAUAAAAUAAUAUGUAAUUCAUAUGUUUAUAUUUAAAGAAUAGUUUAGACCGGCAGGAAGAGCUAAUUUUUUAUUUAAUUAUUGAAUUAUACUUAAAUUUCAAAGGUUGUUGCAAUUUAAGCUCUCUCUCUUAUUUUUUUCUCUCUCUCAUUUUCUUGUCAUUUUCGAAUGUACUAUGUUGUUGAUGGGUGCUUAGAUACUAUGUUGUUGAUUUUAUUAUUUGUUUUGGUGUUGUAGCGGCAAACGGUGUUGUUAUUGCAACUGAGAAGAAAUUGCCAUCUAUUUUAGUCGAUGAAUCUUCUGUAAGUAAACAUUUAUUAUUAUUUUUUUUGGUUUUGUUAUAUUCUUUGGUUGAAAUUCAAGUAACCCUUUUGUUUUUUUGCGUUUUCUUUAGUGACAUCGGUUGGUAGAAAUCUGUUCAAAUUCGGUGUAAAUUUGUAAUUUUUAUUAGUAAUUUGAGCCUAGUGAUUUGGGUUCUUGCCAAUGAGGCGUUACUAUACUAGUCAAUGACUCUUAAGAUUGGGACUUUGCAUGUUGGAGUGUGUAGAUUUAUAUCCUCUUUAAUCCCACAUUGUAUAAAAAGGUGGUGUUGGUUAUUUUAAAUCGUGUUGAAUGAGGUGGAGAUGGUUUGAUUUUGGAGCCAGUCGAUUGGUCUAUUAUUCUAAUUUGCAAGAUGGUAUAUAACUUGAGUUGGUUGUUGAUGGUAUUUAAUUGCUUCUUGUUUCAGGUUCAGAAAAUACAGAAUCUGACACCCAAUAUUAGAGUUGUCUACAGGUUUGUUUCUGCCUGCUUCUCAGUAAUUAGGAAUUUCCAUUUUUUUAGCUUGUGUUUCUCUGGCCUUAACUAUUGCUAAAAUAUCUGUCAUGAAUGAUUGUAGCAGGCGGGUGUGUAGAUUCAAAGCUCUCUUUAUGUUUGGUGGGAAAUUGUAUAGUUUCUGCUGUUGUUAUAGUGUCCUGAUAAGUGUGAAAUUUGACCCGGGGUGGUAAAUUGAGAUAGAAGCAUGCCUGCUUAUAAUCUGAACUUCAGUGGAACUCCUUGUAGGUCAAUGUUCUUAAUUGGUCUGGUUAUGGACUUGACUUUGACAUGCUGUACAUGUACGCUGUUUCUGAUUCAACCGAAAAAAAGAGGGGGACAAAUAUGUAGUUCCUUAGAAAAAUAAAAAUAAGGCAUUCCUCUGUACAUGGGUUUGAAAUAAGACAUCUUGGCAAUUUGGUUGCUCAAUGCAACUUGUGCAACUUAUUACCUAUGUCAAAAUGGGUUGCUUUGCUGUAAUUGUUUCUUGACAGUGCUGAAUCACAUGUAUUUUGUUGCAGUGGAAUGGGUCCUGACUUUCGAGUUUUGGUUCGGAAAAGUAGGAAGCAAGCAGAGCAAUAUCAUAGACUGUACAAGGUACCCAUCUUCAAGAUUUUCAAAAUCUGCUACAUCAGUCUUCAUCCUAUUCCACCAAUAACACACCUUAAGGUCUUUAUACAUCUUGGUGGAACCUGGAUGCAUUGUGUAAACUGUCUGAUGUGCCUCUACCAUCAAUUCUCUCCUCAGAUCAUCUACAUCAGGUACACAAAGCCUAUCCCUAUAUCUCAGCACAUCAUCAUCACCUAUCACAAAACCUGCAGCCUUACCCUGCUCAACCUCAUUUCUAAUCCCGAGUAGUGAAUCAUCUUUCUUCUGAGCUGCUUUUAUCUUAUCAAACAAAUCUGACUUAACCUGAAAAUGAGCAAUCAUUGCUCCAGCUUCACUAAGAUCAAAUCUGACUCCUUCAUCCACCAACUCAUGCAGCUCCCUAAUCAGAGGUCUUCGUACCUCCUGAAUAUGAGCUAAGCUCCCUGAUGAUUUUCUACUCAAAGCAUCGGCAACUACAUUUGCCUUACCCGGGUGGUAAUGUAUGGUACAAUCAUAAUCCUUCAGCAGUUCCAUCCAUCUCCUUUGCCUCAGGUUUAGAUCCCUUUGCUGAAAGAUAUAUUUCAAACUCUUGUGAUCUGUGAAGAUCUCACAAGUUUCACCAUACAAGUAGUGCCUCCAAAUCUUCAAGGCAAAAAUUACAACUGCCAUCUCUAAAUCAUGUGUAGGAUAGUUCUGUUCAUGCUUCUUCAACUGCCGUGAAGCAUAGGCAAUAACCUUGUCAUGCUGCAUUAGAACACAUCCUAACCCCACUCUCGAAGCAUCACAAUACACUGUGUAACCACCAGAACCUGAUGGUACUGCUAGAACAGGCGCUGUAGUCAAUCUCUCUUUCAACUCCAAGAAACUUUUCUCACAAGCUUCAGACCACUGAAACUUAACAUUUUUCUGCGUUAACUUAGUCAAUGGUGCAGAAAUUCGAGAAAAGUUCUCCACAAACCUCCGAUAGUAGCCGGCCAAACCUAAGAAACUUCUAAUCUCUGUCGCCGAAGUAGGUCUAAGCCACUGCUUAACUGCUUCAAUCUUUUGAGGAUCAACCUCAAUCCCAUUCCUUGACACUACAUGCCCAAUAAAUGCUACACUCUCCAACCAAAACUCACUCUUUGAGAACUUGCCAUACAACUGAUGUUCUCGCAGAGUUUGAAGCACCAUUCUCAAGUGCUGCUCAUGCUCCUCCCUAGACCUCGAAUACACCAAAAUAUCAUCAAUAAAAACUAUCACAAAUCGAUCAAUAAACUGGCCAAACACUCUAUUCAUCAAAUCCAUAAAAGCUGCUGGUGCAUUCGUCAACCCAAAAGACAUCACUAAGAACUCAUAAUGACCAUACCGAGUUCUAAAAGCUGUCUUCAAAAUGUCUGUCUCCCUAAUCCUCAACUGAUGAUACCCAGAUCGAAGAUCGAUCUUAGAAAAGAAUUGAGCUCCCUGCAACUGGUCAAACAAAUCAUCAAUGCGGGGGAGUGGGUAUCUAUUUCGAAUAGUCACCCGAUUCAGUUGCCUAUAAUCUAUACAUAACCUCAAUGACCCAUCUUUCUUCUUCACAAACAACACUGGGGCUCCCCAAGGGGACACACUUGGUCGGAUGAACUUUUUAUCCAACAAAUCCUGCAGUUGCUCCUUUAACUCCCUCAAUUCUGCUGGCGCCAUUCUAUAUGGUGCCAUUGAUAUUGGUUCAGUACCCGGAACCAAAUCAAUACAAAACUCAAUAUCCCUAUAUGGAGGCAAUCCAGGUAAGUCAUCGGGAAAGACAUCAAUAAACUCCCUAACUAUAGGGACUUGGUCUAAUUGAGGAACUUCUUUCUCUACAUCCACUAUAUAUGCUAGGUAGCACUGUACCCCUUUUCUAGCCAUUUUCCUCGAGAUAGCCGACAACAUAAUUGAUGGAGACCCAAUCUUAUCUCCUUGAAAUACCAACCCAACUUCUUCAUCUAGAUCAAAUAUUAUUUUCUUACCCCAACAAUUUACCGAAACCCUAUGCUUUGCCAACCAAUCCAUUCCCAAAAUCACAUCAAAAUCAACCAUAUCUAAGACAUUUAAGUCUCCCAUAAAAAUCUUAUCUCCAAUCUCUAUUUCACAAUCCAGAUACACAUACUUCACUAAUAUUAAUUCAUCUAAGGGAGUGGAGACUGAAAUGGGGGAUUUUAACAAGGUUGGUUGUUUAUCUAACCUCAUGGCAAAAUAUGGGGACAUAAAUGAAUGGGUUGCACCCGUAUCAAACAACACUUUUGCUUCAAAAGAGCAAACAGGAAGAAUACCUGAAACAACUGUGUUGGAUGCCUGAGCAUCCUGCUGAGUCAAGGCAAAAACUCUGGCAUGCCCCUGACCCUGCUGUAUCUGACCUCUAUCACCUGCACCCCGGCCUCUCUGACCACGGCCACCAAAACCUCUACCCCUAUGAGCCACAGACUGGCUCGUCGAUGGUGCCUGAAUAGGAUGCUGAACUGAAACAGAUAACCCCGAAGCUGACAACUGUCUCCUUGGGCACUCUCUGAUCUUAUGACCUAUCUGGCCACAACUAAAACAAGCCUCGGUCCUUCUGUAGCACUCUGCACUAGUAUGACUUCCUCCACAGUGCUGACAUGAAGAACUAUCACUAGGUGUAAUAAAUGAACUACGAGGUGCAGUCUGAACUAAACUCUGAGUACCACUACUGCCACUCUGACCGCCUGAGCCACUAACUGACGGUCUCUGUCUAAACCUCCUCUGAACCCAUGAGCCCUGACGACCACUUCGUCCCCUAGACGGACCUGCACUUAAUCCCUGUUGCCUAAAAGACUGACCCUCUUCUCUAGGCCUCUUAGACUGGCCUGCAGUCAUAUCCUCCAAUUCUCGCGCCUCUAUCAAUCUGGCGCUAUCAACAGCUAAAGAGUAUGAUGGAAACACCUGUGACACCAUCACCUUAUACAUAGAGGAUUUGAGUCCUCUAAUAAACCUCUUCACCCUUCACUCCUCAGUGGGUAGAAGAUGUUCUGCAUACCUAGACAGCUGAGUGAACUUCAGAUCAUACUCAUCCACUGUCAUGCUCCCCUGAGAUAGCCUCUCAAACUCAUAAAGUCGAGCAUCUCUGACGCUCUGAGGGAGAAACCUGUCUAAGAACAUGGAGCUAAACUCCUUCUAUAUCCACUGAGACUCUACUGGUCUUGCUCUUUUCCUAGACUCAAACCAAGAGAUUGCCACAUCUCCUUCCAACCUGAAUGAUGCCAAACUCACAGCUCGGUGGUCUGUACAUCCCAAAGCUUCACACCGUCGCCAAAUAUCAUCUAGGAACCUCUGAGGAUCCUCUGAACUAUCCAUCCCAGUAAAAAUAGGAGGUGCCAACUUCAUGAAGUCAUUCAACGGCACAUUAACUCCCUGAACAGUGUGGGAUGUCGAGGGUACAUCUCUAUCCCUCCUUCUAUCUCUCUCCAUAGAAAACUCUAUCCAGGUCCGCACAACCUGGCUAAGUUGCUGAAACUCUGUAACAGGUUCAGGGUCAGCUACCCCCACACCUGUUUCAUCAACAAUAUCUUCCUCUUCUAUCUCCUAAGGCUCUUCCUCCACUGGUGGAGGUACCUCCUCAACAUGUUGAGGCACGGGUGCACCGCGCCUCCUUCUCUGCCUUGCAGUUCUCAACCGCCCAAUAGGGACAUCAUCCUGAUCAUCCUCUACUCUAACAGUAUCAGCUAUUCGUCUAUUCCUCGACAUUUCCUAAAAUAAAAGUGAGAGCACUCAAGUCAUGCUAGAACAAUAGCAUGAUAAUUAUCACAGAAUUAUAGGAAAGCAUAUCUAUCACAAGGAAGAAGACAUGCUUGAUGAGAAUUCAGAAUUUCAAAGACAACAAACAAGACAAUACGGAUCUUAAUGCUCCACUUAUUAUGAAAUUAAUUAUAUUAUUGUUUCUUUAACCUAAAGCUCUGAUACCAAGUUUGUCACGACCCGAAUCCCGGAUCCAUGACCGGCACAUAGACAAGGUUCCCCUCCAAGGUUCCAUACCUAUGUGAACCCAAACUUACACACAAACUUAUCUUAACUCAAUCAGAGUUCAACGCAGCAUUAAUAACAAAAUCAACUUUAUAAUAUAACUGAAUUGUCUUAAUACAAGAGUUAAUAUAAUUCAUAGUUUUGGAGCACUAACUUGACAUAAAAGAAAAGUACAAAAUACAACCAAAGAGCAGGUUCUGAAGGUCCAACAAAAUGACCUGCUAUCAAGCUAUAAGCCUGAAAAGGAUAAAUAAUGAGAUGGUGAGUUCAACAACUCAGUGAGUAGAUAACGUUCAAUAUACACACACGAGGUAAUACAACAAUGAGAAAUAUAUAUAUACAAGUAUGGCUCUAGGUUCUUAUAGAAAGGUUUCUCAAAUAGGCCAUAACAAGAAUAUCAUAUGGUAAAGCUCGUCAGAAAAUCAAAAUGCAAUGAGCAUGAGGCUCCGUACUGUGGGAUGAUCAGUCCACACAGGUUGGUGACUCCCCCGACCAACUAGGGUUCAGAUACGAUGUGCACAAAGACUAACACUACCCUGUUAGCAUGGGUAUUUUGACUGACAUACCAUAGGUUCAUAAUCAUAUUCAAACAGACAUAUUCAUAUCUCAAGGCUCAACUCAUGACAUCAAUCAAAUGAGGAGCUAUCAAUUCAGAAGUCAAUCCCAAAUAUAUACUGGUUCAUAUCAAGAAUUCAGAUUCAACAAUUGAUCAUGUUUAAUCAAAACAAAGAUAAUAAUCAACAUAUAUAUUAUCAAGAAGCAUGAUCCAAUUCAUAUUAACAAAUCAAAUAUUUAUAAUAUUUCUCAUGCAUAUGGAAAAUUAUCCACUCACCUGACUCGAAAGCAACAAAACUCAAAGCUGAUAUCGAAGGAAAUCCUACUGACGUCCCGCCGGUAGAAUAUCAGGAUUAUCUGAAUAUAAAGGAGACAUAUUCAAGAACGACUCGAAAGAAUAUUUAACUUAUUUAAUACACUUAACUAAGGGUGUAUUCCAUAACCCUAUAUGUUUUUGAACUAACUAGUUAUCUUUCCUAAAAACCCAACAUUUAACGGUUUUCCCGAAAUCUAAUCCAUAAUAAAAACAACUAAUAAAAUUGAUAAUAAUUUACUAAAUAACCCUUAAUUAUUCAUCAAACCAAUCUGAAAAAGCUAAUAUUACAGCUAGGGACUAAUCUGUAAUUUAUCCUAUUUUUAAGGGUCAAAUUGCAACUUUUGUCUAAUUGGAGGACCAAACUGAAAUUUAUCAUAAAUCCAUGAAUAUACUGAAAUUCUGACCAUAACUAGUCCUCAUUUCUGUCCAGAUCAUCUCAUUAUACUCCAAGGACCAUUCUGGAAUUUUACCAAAUUUUUAGGGUCAAAUUGUAAUUUUUAUCAAAUUGGAGGACCAAAUUGAAAGUGUUAAAUUCUCUUAUCUAUACAAUAAUUCUGUCCAUAAUUCAUAUGUUAUUCUGUUCAGAUUCUCGGAAUAGGCUCCAGGGACCAAUCUGCAAAUUUUCCAAAGUUUGGGGACUAAACUGUAAUUUUCCAAAAUUGAGGGACCAAACCGAAAUUUUGUCAUCUUCAACCUCCAACCCAGAAUUUUUAACAGAAACCUACUGUUCUUGCCAAAUUUCUAACUCAACAUUCACCAUUUAGACAAUUCAUAACUCAAAAUUAUCACAAUCUUCCAUAAUCAACUCAUUAAUCAAUUACCCAUAACAAUCAACCUUAUAACAUUCAAUUUAAUUCAUCAAUUAAACCCAAAACACAAAUUUUCAAAACCCUAACAUUUAUCAAAACCAAAAUUAAAAGCUCAAUAAUACAAAUUUAUACAUUUAACAACCUAAAUCUUACCUUUUUACUUAUUUCCUCCAACUCCUUUCUAUUUCCUUUCUAAUUUCCCUCUUUUCUCUUCUUCUUCUUCUUUCUCCCUUCUCCCUUCUCUCUCACGGUUUUUCACUCAAAAUAUUCAGAUCUCUUCUUCUUCUUUUUCUUUCUAUUUAUAUUUCUUAUGUUUAUCUAAUUACUACAAUACCCUUAUUUAUUUAUACUCCAACUUUUAAGCCUACAAGGACUUUAUUGUAUUUUCCUACUCAUUUAUUCAAAACAUCACAUAAUGCUUGAUAACCUGGUUAAGAUAAUAUAUCUGGAAAGUAGUUAUUGAGGUUGUCUAUAUUACAAGACUUCUUGUUAGUUUUCUUAUUCCCAAUAAUACCAUUCUGACCCCCAAAACAGCUGAAUUUUGCUUGAAAUCCAAGAGUUAAAUAUCCGAUUACUAUUUUAUAUCAAUUCAUUGUCAUCUUUUGUUGUUAAUCGUGAAGGUUGUGACUUGUGAAUUUUUAUGAUUGUAGGAACCAAUUCCUGUCACACAACUUGUGAGGGAAACUGCUGCUGUCAUGCAAGAGUUUACUCAAUCUGGGUACUGGAACAUCUUUUAUACAUUCAAAGUGUUUCAGUGGUUUUAGUUGAUUUCCUUUGUAAUUUAGAUCUGAAUUUCAAUUUCCAAAGUUCAUAACCUUAGCCCUUAUUCUAAUAAGCCAACAACUCUCUCCCUAUGUUCCUGCAUCAGCAUGUCAACUCUUCAUGCUCUUAUUCUUGAAGUUUGAAAAUACUCAUCCUUUGUUUUUCCUCGCAGAGGUGUAAGGCCUUUUGGAGUAUCUUUGCUAGUCGCUGGUUUUGAUGACAAAGGUCCACAGCUGUACCAGGUGUCUUUGCUAGUCACUGUGUUAAUGUCUGAAGUCAUUAACUAUUUUUUUUUUAUCUGGAUUAUCCACUGCAGACUAUGUGGUAGCCUAGUAUUCUAGAAGCUGUAGGCCUUUGUGACUAUCAUGCACCCUUCUGUGUGCCCAGAGGGUUGAUAAGUUUUUGACCUUUUGUUUUCUUGGUUGAGAUUUGGAUGGAUUAUGACUCACUUGUGUUGCCUUUUUAAAAAUAUGUUAGACUCUUGCACUCAAAUCAUAGUUCUUCUGAUGAUGUUAUGUUUUGUAUUUGUUUGGCUAGGUUGAUCCAUCAGGUUCCUACUUCUCAUGGAAAGCCUCAGCAAUGGGGAAAAAUGUUUCAAAUGCAAAAACAUUUCUUGAGAAGAGGUAUUUAUUUGUUUUUGGUACCAUGAAAUGCAUUGAUUCUGCAAAAACUUCUAAACAUCUUCAUGGGUUCUCCUAGCUAGCAACAAAUGUGUUUCCACCUCCAGCCAUCAACUGCCAAACAUAUUCUUCAUUCAAAGAUCAAGCUACCUUCAAUUUUCAACUGCCAGUUUACUUUGUGCUACUCCCAUCGUUCUUUAUAUAAUUUAUUGUACUUCAUUCUCCCCAUCCAAGAAGAAUUGGAUUGUCUUUUUUUUUUUGAAAAAAAAAAGAAAAAAGAAAGUGAAAAAAAGAAUUGAAUGGACAGAAACAUGGUAAAUAUUUUGGUUUUUUGUCCACAUAUCUUCAUUUGAUUUGAACAACUUUUGUUUUCCCUAACUUAAUAUGUGCUCUGUAGAUACACUGAUGAUAUGGAGCUUGAUGAUGCUGUACACACCGCUAUCUUGACACUAAAAGAGGGGUACAUCACUUUAAAAUUUCCUCCACUUUUUAUUUUUGAAUUUGAGCAGUGGUGUUUUUUACAAGGUUUGGUAUAUAAAAAGUAGAAGAAAAAUUCAGUAGGUUUAAUAUACUUGCGCCAUGCACGAGCACCCGGUUCAUUACAUAAUUGAUUGAUAUACUUGUAAUUCAGCCAUUUAGGUAUUGCGAUUUUCUGCCACACAUACUGAGUAUCGUAGGUAAAAUGAAUUCUAAGUAACAGUAGUCUAGUUGGGGUCUUCAGCCUUGAGAACUUAAAUUGGCUCUCAACACUUCAGUUAGUAGUUCAGGAGAUUAAAUUAUGUGAGAUACUGUUUAAGUGAAAAUGAAUGAAAGUUUCUCAACCCAGUGUCAAUCAAAUGUACUUGCAGGUGCUUAAAGGUUCCUUUUCUUUCCUCUUAGUGAUUUUAAGUUGUUAAUUUGUCGAGUCUUGCUUCUAUAAUCAGAGUGAUGGUGGAUUAGUGAGCAUAAUCUUAGUAUUUGCAAAGUGGUCAAAGAGAGAUAUAAAUGAGCAUUUUAAAGUUUCUUACAAGUUCUGAGUGUGUCCCUUGUAACCUUACAAGAUUGUUUGUGUUUGCAGAUUUGAAGGGCAGAUUUCUGGGAAAAACAUUGAAAUUGGGAUAAUUGGUGCUGACAAGCAAUUCAGGCAUGCUCUUUCUUGACCUUUUUCCUUAUUAAACUUGGUAAUAGUGUCACGUAAUUUCAAGCUUAGGAUGAGUUCCAGAAGUAACUUGCAGGAUGCACAUUUUUGUUAACACAGUUCAUAACUAGAUAAAAUCUGAUAUCUAAAAUCUUUUGGAUCUCACCAAUUUCAUAUAUGGCCUUCCACUUGUGGUUUCAAUUUUGAAGUUCUGAUUUUCACGCACUCUUGCUCUAGUUUCAGUCUGACAAUUUACACAUGAGACUCGUGUUCAAAAUGGCCAAUCCACUCUUUCUUUGAAUGUUUAAGCUUCCUUGGAAGAAGUUAUGUGUGGCAUGACCAUGGCAAUCUUAUCCCUUGUGCUUUCUUUACUGCAGGGUACUAACUCCAGCCGAAAUUGAUGAUUAUUUGGCUGAAGUGGAAUAGACAUUGUAUUUUUUGGCUAAAGUGGAGUUCUUCCCUGUAUUGACACCAAUCGAGAUACAUGUGUUACUUUCCUCUGGAAUUGCUUGAAUCAGUUGCUUUUAGCCGAAGUUUCUAUUAAUUCCAAGUUUUCAGAACUGUAAUGUGGAAAUGUUAUAGGACUUCUCUCCAAUCUUAGAUGGCUUCUAAAGUUUUGCAUCAAUAUGAUUUCCUAUAGGAUACGUUUGACAGAGUGCAGAAAAUUGGUCUUUUCAAUUAUAUCUAUCUCCUCUCAAUGCUUGACCUGUAAUAUGCCCGUUCUUAUUUAAUUCCAAUGGAGCUUCGAAGAGGGAAAGAGAGGGGCCAUGGAAUAUGGAUAUCGAAUUGCAACUCAAUUGACACUUCAGAGCCUCGUCUUUGCAACAAGUCUCAUGCUGGAGUUUUUGCUGUUAAAUUAUACUAAUAAUAAUGACAAUAAUUUGUCCAUUGUGUUUAAACAAAUUAACCUUGGUCUAUUUUUUUUAUGAAAAAUAAACUUUUUUAGAAUUGAUUAUUCUAGCUAUCAGCUACCGUCACAAUAUAGAACCCCAUGCAACCUCAAAGACACCACGAGGCUACAAGAAUGCUAUUGUUUGACUCCUUAAGUUCGUUAGAGAUAUUUUGAGGCUUUUGUCCCUUAGUAAACAGAGAAAAACAUAAGCUACUUUUGUCUGGCAGUGCUGGUCUUCACCCACGUAGUCCAUUAUCCAAGAAAACACUCUUCACAUAUCUUCUUGCUUGCUGAAUGUUUACAGCUACCCAACUCCAAACUCCUCUUUUAUGCUUUCAUGUAAGUCGUAUCCUUCCUUCCUUCCUCUCUUUCUCCUCUUGCUGGAUAACAUUGCUUGUUCAAGGAAUUUCUUGUACUGGGAAAUGGGUUUCAAUGGAAUUGCUAAGUAUCAACGUUCACUUGACAGAGGAUGUCUAAAUUGUUUUGUGUUCUUGUUAGUUAAAACAUUUUCGCAUUUUGUUGGCUCUCAUAUGUAUUGAACGAGCAAUCAUCAUUAUCUGAAAAGUCUUACUGUGAAUUCAGAAAUUAUAAGAUGAAGGACCAGUUUUAGCUGUCAAAGUGCUAGGCUUAUCGUUGUUGAACUCUAACCAGUCUUCAACAGUUGUGGCCUUGUUUAUCUUGCAAAUUUUGAUUUUUGUAGUUUAAUCAGAUAGUUUAGACUAAUAUUUGAUUCUGUAAUGAAAAUACAACCUAUACUCACAGCAAUUAAGAAUUAUUGCGAAAGAAAGAGAGAAGAUAUUUGGUUUAGAAAGGGAAAGUUGACAACUUUUCUUCUUCUUUUUUAACUGUGUAUUCUGGUUUGCAUUUCAGGUGUUUGCUAUUGUGAUUAAAAGUAGUUUUAGUGUCUCUCUUUGUCCAAUUAUUUUGCAUUCCAAAGCAUCCUUUGCAUGGAUUUUAUUUGGUUGCUUCCUCUGUGUAAUGGCUUUAAAUUAAGAGGUGUGUAUGUUUGUUGCUGGCAAUUGUGUGUUUACUUGAUUAGUUUUUGCAGGUUGCUUGUUAGAUGCACACUGAAUCAUAUUUUUAUAGAAUCAAGUAUCCGGAAUGGUCAUUUCAGACGCAGAGAAAAGAAUUCCAGUAGUGGAGAUGUUAAAAAGUCGAAAAGCGACAGGGUCUAUAUCGACAAACAUGGCAAAUGGCGAAUCUUUGAUCACAAAAAGAUGUCCAGGAAACGAUGUAAUACGGAGUAAUUCACUUCGUGCUCCUACAUAUAACUGCUGAAGCAAAUAUGGCUUUAAUUAUUAAGUCGUCUUUUUUACCUAGGUGGCUCUUUGAGGGGACAAGGAUGGAAAUAUGGAUCUGGAUUUGUUGAUGGAAUUUUCCCAGUGCUAGGUCCUGUUGCUCAUCAGAUUCUGAACUUUGUGCGGAAAGAAGUGGAUCCGAAUAAUGUUUGGGCUGCUCUUGACACUCUUCCUGUCACUCACGAGACUUGGGAUGAUCUUAUUAAUGUAGCCGUCCAACUUCGUUUGAAUAAACAAUGGGAUCCGAUUGCUUUGGUGAGUAAAUCGUGCCUCAAUUCUUUCAUCGUGUAAGGUGGUAGGCGAUGGAUUAAACCACAUUGCACGCAAAUAUUUUUGUGGCAGGAUGUUUGCAUAGUAUUUUUCUCUUCAAUCAUUAAGACUGAACCCUCGAUUGUUCAAAUCUCCUUUAAGUGGUUGGUGCUGCAGUUGGUGUUCGGAAUUUUCAUAUACCAGCAUUUUCCUCCAACUGAAUGAAACAAAUCUCUUUACUGUCUCUAUUUAUUAUAUCGACAUUUUUAAUAUCGUGUGUUCUUAAUUCUUAAUAAUCUUGUUGGGUGUAACUCUAAAAUUUCCAGAUAUGUCAAUGGAUACUGUACAAGAGCUCCUUCCAGACAGAUGUCAUGUGCUACAAUUUACUAAUAGAUGCUUAUGGGCAAAAAUCUUUGUACAAGAAGGCAGAAGAGACAUAUGUUGAUCUUCUUCAAGCCAGGUGUAUCCCUACUGAAGACACCUAUGCCCUCCUUAUAAAGGCUUACUGUGCAUGUGGAUUGUUAGAAAAGGCUGAAGCUGCCUUUGUUGAUAUGCGAAAGUAUGGCCUUCCUCCAAGUAUGUGUUUACCAAUUCAUUUCUUCUUAGCUUUUAGGGAAAUUGCAUUUUCAAGAAGUUCUUGGACUACAUCAACUAUUUCUUAUAAAACAAAAUUUCCUCAACCUGUAAGAUUCUUUGCCUCAAAAAUUGAUUUUUUGUGGGGUUAAAUUCGUUUUAAAUUUUGAAACCUUGCUCAAUAAUUGCACAGGGCUGUAUUUCUUUUUUCUUUUCGGGGGUGAAGUAUACUAAACGUAGGACAAGAGAAGGUGGGCUCAUGGUCUGCAUAUUUCUUGUUGCUGCUAUACUAGUAGUGAUUACUACUCCUUAUCUACAUCACCAUGCUUAGAGAAUGGUUGAUUAAACCAAGAGGGACCCCUUACUAAUUUAGCUAAACCGGAACUGGAUUAGGCUAGAGGCUCCUGGAUGACAAACUUGCUUCUGUAGCUUUCCUUUAUGAGAUUGCGUGGGUUAUUUCUCUUCUUUUUGUGGUGGUGAAAUACAGGGCAUUAGUUCUGCUUUUGUGUUUCGUUCUCUUAUUUACACAUCUCAGAUUUUCAUUUUUCAAGCUGUUCUGUUGAUACACUUGCAUGCACAUUCAAGGAAGUGAAAAGUGAGCGUAUACUCCAAUUUUGGCCAGGUGAAAUUGUAUACAAUGCUUAUAUUGAUGGGUUAAUGAAGGCUGGAAACCCUCAAAGAGCAAUUGAGAUCUUUCAGCGAAUGAAAAAUGAUGGCUGCCAGCCCUCUACUGACACCUAUACACUGUUGAUCAACCUUCAUGGGAAGGUACGCUCAGUGGUAUUUGGUUCUGAAUUAUUCUGCAAAUCUGAUCUUCUUGAAAUGCCACUGGUCCCAGUAGAAAAUUAUUUGUAACUCGUACGUCUACAAGUCUACAGUGAUACAACAAACAACUUGAAAUAUAUGCAUUUAAUUUCAAACAAUUACCAGACUAAAUUCAAAGAUAUGGUUAUUAAUUCUGAUAACCCUGUACAACAGUGGUGUUUAGGAUCCUUAAAAACUCAUUUUGCUAAUCUUUUUCCUGUACACAGGCAAGUCAAUCUUACAUGGCCUUGAAGUUGUUUAACGAAAUGAGAAGUCAAAAAUGCAGACCAGAUAUCUGCACAUACACAGCUCUGGUGAACGCGUUUGCUAGAGAGGGACUCUGUGAGAAGGCAGAAGAAAUAUUUGAGCAGAUGCAACAAGAUAAGCUUGAGCCUGAUGUGUAUACUUACAACGCGCUCAUGGAAGCUUACAGGUUAGUAUCAUAGAAUGAUAUGGUGUUUCAAUAAUCUUUCAAAGAAAAUGGAAAAGAAUACUGGAGGUGCUGCUUCUUGCUUCCUAGAGAUUCCCAAUAGAACUGAUGAUAUUUAACUAUCUUGUCCUCACAGUCGUGCAGGUUUUCCUUACGGGGCUGCAGAAAUAUUUUCACUCAUGCGGCACAUGGGCUGUGAGCCGGAUAGAGCUUCAUUUAACAUCAUGGUAGAUGCGUAUGGGAGAGCUGGCCUUCAUGAGGGUAAGAUGCUUGAACCAAAUAGUAUCAAUGUACUUUAUUAAGUGAGAAUUGGAAAAAGAUUAAGCUCCAGAGAAUUUGGGAACAGUUUGAGCAUGUAAUGGUUUAAAAACGUUCCGAUCAACUAUACGAACUUGAAGGGAUCUAUAUUGCAACAUUUGGAUUAUAUUUUGGAACAGUGUUCAAUUUUAUUCUGGAGAUCUGCCAUAAUCUUUCUAGGAUUUCCUAGGAAACAAGAUAAAGUUGUAUGAGAUAUUAUCAGGCUAUCAGCAUUUCAUCCGUUUGCGACACCUUUCCUACUUGGAAGAAGUUCCUCUUGUUUUUCGUAUAUGCUCCUCGUAAUUUUGGCUUAAUGAUUUGGCUGCUCCUAUUUGCUUUUUAGAUGCUCAAGCGGUAUUCAAUGAGAUGAAGCGACUAGGAAUAACCCCUACAAUGAAAUCACACAUGCUACUUCUCUGUGCCUACUCAAGAGCAAGAAAUGUGGAUAAAUGCGAAGAAAUUGUUAACCAGAUGAGCGAAUCUGGGCUUGAACCAGACACGUUUGUCCUCAACAGCAUGAUGCACUUGUAUGGCCGCCUGGGCCAAUUUGAAAAGAUGGAGGAAGUUCUAACUGCAAUGGAAAAGGGACCUUAUGGAGCUGAUAUCAGUACAUACAACAUCUUAAUCAACAUAUAUGGACGAGCAGGAUUUUUCGAGAGAAUGGAAGGUAUUUUCCAAUCACUUCCAACCAAAAAUCUGAAACCUGAUGUUGUGACUUGGACUUCAAGAUUGGGAGCCUACUCAAGAAAGAAACUAUACGCAAGAUGCUUGGAAAUCUUUGAAGAAAUGAUUGAUGCUGGAUGUCACCCUGAUGGAGGAACUGCCAAUACUUCUAUCAGCAUGCUCAAGCGAAGAUCAAAUUGAACAGGUUACCACUGUAAUCAGAACAAUGCAUAAGGGCAUGGAGGCUGCUCUUCCUGCAUGAUUAAUGUGUAACAGUCCGGCAGCGCAUAAAGGAGCAAGACCAAGUUGAAGCCGGGGAAGAAAUGAGAGAGGCAUGUUGGAGAAGACUUACCUGCAGCAAAAAGAUAAGGUGAGCACGUGUAUGGUCAAGAUUGGACAAGAAGCACUUACGUGGAGGGCUGAGAUGAAGAAGCUCAUGCGGCUGACAGCUGACAAGGGAGUAAGUUCAAAGGCAAACGACACCGUUUGGGAGAAGAAAAAGAAUCCAAAUACAACACAGAUAAAUAAAACAGCUGUCAAUUCUAUCUGUUAUUCUUAAUUCCCAACUAACCGAGAAUUAUAAUAGAAGGGGGAGGAAGGGGCUGCAGAUAGGCAGGAAAUUGCUUUGAAGCAAAUCUCAUUCACCUAGGAGGCCCGGGCUACCUCGAAGCUGCCCAUAAAUCUAGAUUAGGGUUUAUCAACAUUGCAUUGUUCUUUCAAUUCGAGUUCUUUAAGAUAUUUCAUUUCAGUUGUUAUUUCAAUUUCCCCAGUUUUCUUUUUUUUUAAACCUGUAAGGCUCAGGUCUAAGAAAAGCUAUAAUAAGAAUUCCAGUAUUUUUCCCUUACUUACCAAGUUCAUUACAAGUGGUAUCAGAGCCACGAUUCUCGGAUGGCUGAAGGAACAAGAGUUUCACAACUGAUAGAAACAAUAUCAGGGAUGAAACAACAACAGGAGACGCAACAAUAAAACCAACAGAAUCAGCAGCAAAUAUUGGAAGACAUAGUUCAGCAAUUAAGAAACAUGUCUACCAGGAUGGAUCAGAUGGCUAAGGCCCAUGGGCUUCCCCCCAAUUCUCCCACUAGGUCAGUCAAUGGAAAUACAAGGCAUGAAGUAGUACCACAAGAAGGAAUUCAGCAGGUUCAACUCAAGUCAAUCAGAUUGGAGUUUCCCUGGUUCAAUGGAGAUGAUCCUAUUGGUUGGGUAUAUAAAGCCAAUCAAUAUUUUAACUUUCACAACACUCCAGCUCAACACAGAUUGUUUAUAGCCAGUUUUCACAUGGAAGGAAAGGCCAUAACAUGGUAUUAGGAACUAGAAGAAACCAGAAUUCUCACCAGUUGGGAGGCCUUCGUUAAGGCCCUCCAAAUUCGAUUUGGAACCUCAUCUUAUGAUGACCCCAUGGAGGCCCUCAUAAAUAUCAAACAGACAUCAACAAUAGAGCUCUACAAAACCCAAUUCGAAAUGCUUUCGAACCGGGUCAGAGGGCUGUCUGACUCUCACAGGCUCAGCUGCUUCCUAGGUGGAUUGAAGGAGGAGAUAAGAAUGGGAGUACGAAUGCUAAACCCUCAAAAUUUAGUGGCUGCUUAUGAAUUAGCAAGGAUGCAGGAGGAAAAUCUGAUAAUCAUGAGGAAAUCAUGGAGACCUAGUUUUAUGGGGUUUCAAGGCCGAAACCCAACACCAACUCAGCCCAGGGUUGAAAAUAAACCAGUUCUAGUACAGAGACUCACCCCUCCAUAGAUGAAGGAAAAAAGAGACAAGGGGCUUUGCUUUAAACGUGACAAUAAGUGGGGACCUGGCUAUAGGUGUGGAGGACCCAAGAUAUUCUUGAUAGAGGAAUUAGAGGAGGAGAUGAAGGAUAAAAAUUUUGUUCCUGAAGACCUGAUUGAUUUAGGAGACCCUCAGGAAGAAGGCAAGGAGGGAGUCGACAUAUCCCUCCAUGCAAUCAUUGGAAGUCCAAAUCCUAAAACUAUGAGCGUGUUAGUUAAGCUAAGUGGCCAUAAUUUCGUGGCCUUAAUUGACACAGGAAGUACACAUAAUUUCAUACAUCCAAGGGUAGCAAGAAGAGUAGGGAUGAAGGUUUUAAAACACAAGCCUAUUGGGGUGAACAUUGCAGAUGGUUCCAAGCUGUAGAGUGAGGGAAGCUGCUCAGAUAUCAAACUGAUGAUUCAAAGAGAUCAGUUUGUCACUCGGGCUUAUGUCAUACAGCUGGGAGGAUGCGAUAUGGUGUUAGGAAUCCAGUGGCUCAAAAGUUUAAGGCCUAUUCUCUGGGACUUUUCAGCCUUAAAAAUGGAAUUCCAAAAGGAGGGGAAGAGGGUCUUGAUUUGUGGAAUGGGAGUGGAGAAAUCAGAAGUAGACUGCAGCCCAACCUUUUUACAAGAAUUGAGAAGAGUCGAAGAAGGACUGAUUUUGCAAAUUUAGGAGCUGGGAUCAGUCUAGAAUAAAAUUCCAGAACAGAUUGAGAAUCUGUUGCUAGAAUUCAUGGAAGUUUUUCAAGAGCCAAAAUGAAUCCCACCUAGCAGAUCACAUGAUCACUCUAUACUGUUGAAAGAAGGUACCUCCCCAAUAAGUGUACGUCCUUACAGGUACCCCUACUACCAAAAAUCUGAGAUAGAAAAACUAAUUAAGGAGUUGUUGGUAAUGGGUACUAUAAGACUCAGCCAAAGCCCUUUUUCAUCGCCAGUCCUACUAGUUAGGAAGGCUGAUGGGUCAUGGAGAAUGUGUGUGGACUAUCGUGCCCUCAACAAGGAAACUGUGAAAGACAAGUUUCCCAUACCAGUUGUGGAAGAAUUAUUAGAUGAACUACAUGGUUCUCAAAAUUUUUCCAAGUUAGACCUCCGAUCAGGCUUCCACCAGAUCGGAAUGAAGGAAGAAGAUGUCCCCAAAACAGCCUUUAGAACUCAUAAAGGGCACUAUGAAUUUCUGGUGAUGCCUUUCGGCCUCACAAAUGCCCCUUUCACUUUUCAAGGAUUGAUGAAUGAUAUUUUUCGACCCUAGUUUUAACAUGAAUAGGGUUUUUUUAUAUAAUUUAUGAUAUAAAGACAAAAAGAAUUCAAGGAGAGGAUUUUCCAUGAAUAUGUAAAAUAUGUAAUUGGAUUGAAAUCUUAUCAUAGAGCAAUAUCUUAGACACUUUCUAUGGAAAAUAUGUAAAGGUGCCCAUCAAAACAUUUUCCAAGAAAAAAUAAUACAGUAAUUAUUUUUAUUGUUAUUGUUGUUGUUAUUAUUAUUAUUAUUUUAUGCUCGUAUAUACGAUUAGGAAGUUUUAACAAAGAAAACCGAAAAAGGCAAAACAAGAGUUGCCAAUUCUCUUUAAACUGAAAUAUUAAGGGUAAAAUAAUCAAUAAAAAGUUGAAAAGGAUUAGCGAGUGAGUAUUUGGUGUGAAUUCAUUUACUUGCACCACCUCACCAAGGCCUGGACAAACAGCCACUCCGAGGAUCCAUGUCGUUUAUUCAAUGCGCUUAAUCUUGUGUGUGUGAGUGUCUAUAGUGUUUUCAGUGCCUCUGCUUAUUUAUAUUUUUCAACGGAAGUGUCUCUAAUUUUAAUUUUUCUAUUUUAUUUCUUGUACUUCCAUUACUUUUUAUAUAUAUUUAAUCGCUGUUUUUAUUUUUUAAUUGAUGGUUGUAUCUAUAUUUUUCACCAUUAGAUGUCUAUGUUUUACAGUUAUUAAUGACAUGUAUAUUAAUGGGCAUGUAUCAUCCUUGUUAUGGAAUUCAUCAUUCAUAAAAUCUAAGAUAAAAGAAAACCAAAAUUUAAAAAUACAUGGAAGGAGAAAAAAGAAUUAUUAUUUUUUCAUCAUGAAACAAUGACUUCGUAUGUAUAGUAAGCAGCGGAGUGAGGAAUUGUAGUUUGGGAAUGUCGAAUUAGAUAAAAGAUUUUAGAGGGAGGGCCAAAAUUUUAAAUUUUCUAUUUUUAAAGAUAAAAAUCUGAUUUAUUGAAGAAAAAAAACACCUUGCAGGACCCUGCCCCUGCCAGCCCCUGUAAUUCCUCCAUGUUCGUGUGGCUCUUGAACAGUGUUGGUGGUGCGUGGAAUAUCACUCCAUGGCCAAGGCACAAUCAACGGUGGCCCCUCUUACAACGACACGGACGGCGAAAACGAUCGCUUGCAUGUCCAAAGGUUCACCUCUUGGGAUAUUUGUGUUGAUCGCUACAUUACCAAAAUAGCUUCUCCAUUUCUUCAUGAGAGCACCGCACACAAAUCCAGUCUUGAAAAUAGCAUGCCGUGGAUAAAUUAGAGGGAAGGUAUUUAGUAAUUUGGAGUGGAGAUAGAAACAAAAAUUGUUGAGAGGGAAGGAUCGAUGGAGCAUUGAGUGGGAGAGGGAGAGAGAAGAGUAGAUUAAGCGAUAAGGGGAUUGGCGUCUACAUGUCCCUGUCCGAUCUUUGAGCCCCAUGUGAAGCAGAGGCCAUUCUCGACGUUUUCCUUCUGUUGGCUAUUUUCUCUUAGUGCCAACAAUUGAGUCUCGACGGAAUCGUCGAUCUCUUCUUUCCUAUCUUACACGUUUGAAGGGUAGACAAUUCAAUGUACUAAACAUGAGAAUUUCAACCAUGUUGCUUGCUUUCAGAUCUUCUACAUCACAACCUUGUUUAUACAGGGGACAUGAACGCUAGCUAUUAUUAUAAAAAAAAAAUUCCAAAAUCUCAACCUGAUACCGCAAAAGGCCAUCAUCUGUAUCUAGAUAUACACUAGUUAUUUAACAUGCAAUUCGCACCGGGUUGCAUAAUUAUUAUUUGCAAUUACCAUCCUAGUGAAGAUCAAGCAACUGUUUUCUGCAAAUUCACAAGAAGAAAUUUAGCACCAAAUAUUAUCAUUAUCCGCGCAAAUAAAACCUCAGUUUCAGUGGAUUAAGUCCAAAUAAAUGAGAGAAUGGUAGACUUGGAAGCUAAACCAUUCAUCUAAAAGAGAUGAUACCCAUCGAUUUUGUGGAUUAAAUCCAAAUAAAGUUAUCAAAACCCAGCACAAAAAAUCUUCAACAAUAAAUAUGAUUUCUGCUAGUGAAAGGCAAGCCACCUGGACCUGGUGCCUGUGCUUUCUAAAUGCCAUCACAGCCCCAUUCAAAGAACUUCCAGACAGAGGAUUCUUCAGACCAAUAGAUUUACUAACGGAAGACAAUAAAUUCAAACUGUGAUAUCAGAAUCAAUGUAGAUACCUCCAUAUUUGCAUAAUCCAACAUAAAAAGGACAACUUUUAUGUUUUGGCAGCGCCUCUACAGGAAUUAUACAUAAGUGGUUGCCCCAUUCUAAGGAAACGUUACGGUAAGGAGGAGAUGGGUGAAGGUUGGCAAAAGAUUUCUCACAUCCCUGACAUUUAUUUUGAUGAUAUAUUAUUAUAUGUGAGAAAGACAGAACUCUUUAAUUAGAACCGGCAGGAGCAUGUAAAUUCUUCUACCAGUGUUAAUUCUUAACGGUAUAAUAUUUUACUAUAUUUUAACAAUCCAUUUUAAUUAAUUAUGUAAGUCAUAGUUAGGUCACUGGGAUUUUUGUCAUUCAGAAAAUGGAAUGCUCAUUUUAACAUCUACCAUUCAUUGGGUUGAUUUGGUUAUGACACGUUUGCUUUUGGUCUGUGUUUGACAGCUUGGGCUUAGAAGAUACUGAAGAGCUACUUCAGAGUGGCUUCCGAUUUACUUUGUGCAUUUGAAGAUUUUCCCUUAAUAUUUUUGGAAUCAAAUCGAAGGGCAUUCUGGUAUAAUCAAAUGGAGGAUUUCAUUCAGUGUUGUAUUAAGCACCGUAUGUUUCAUACACCUCCUUACUGUAAUUGGAUUGAAAUCAUUUGUAAUCUAUUGUUGACUUGGAUUUUAUUUCCUACUUCCCAUUUAUUCUCACAUCCUCUCUCUCUCUCUCUCUGUUUUUUAUUCUUUUUUAAUUAUUGUGCACCCCAAACUAGAUUACCUUGUGUACCCCAAACUACAUUACCUCUUAAGGAAUUAUUGUUAACCCCAACUUACAUGUAAAUGUGCAAUCGUUGAUGGAUCUCGAGUUGGCGGAAUCUCUUUAAUGAUUUAGUUCUUAAAAAUAGCUAUUCUUCCGUAAAUGGUGUUCAUAAAUAUGUCCAUGACAUAAAAAAAAAAAGAAAAAGGAUAUUAACUAAUACAUGGUUUCUAUUUCAAGAGCCAUCAUUAAAAGUACAAAAUUCUGAUUGCCAAAUUCUUCUCUACCAAAUAAAAGUUUGAUUAAAUUGAAUUGAAUAUAUAGCACAAUUGAAUAGCAUCAAAUACUCAAUGGAUCAGCUAAAAAAAACAAAUUACCAAAACAUAGAUUCUAAACAUAAUAACAAUUUGAAAUGGUAGAGGAUAUUCAGUCGACUUGUGUAUUUAGCAUCGUACACCUUAUGCCCUAGAGUAGUAUUAGGAUGAGUUCUCUUCUUGAAAAUAUUGUGCACCCUAAUCCCACAUGGAAGUGUGUGAUCAACCCCAUGAGAAUCAUUAUACAUCCCAACUCACAUGCAAAUGUACAAUUCCUUGUGGACCUCGGGUUGUGGGCUCUUCCCUAUGAUUUGGUUCGUGGGAGUGGCUAAUUGUUUACGUAUCCAAGAAUAUAUAUGCGAUCUAAAAAAAUAUAAAAAAGGGGAUAUUAACUGAUACAUGGUUUCCAGUUCAAGAGCCAUCAUCAAAAUUACAAGAUUCUUAUUGCCAAAUUCUUCUCAACCAAAUAAAAGUUUCAUUAAAUUGAAUUGAAUAGCAUCAAAUAUUCAAUGGAUCAGCUAAAUAAAAGGUACUGUUUGUAAAAACAAAUUUAAUAUAUCUCAAAAUUAAGCAGAUUAUUUUGGUAAUUAAAAUAAGAACUUCAAAAAAUAUAAUAAAGAAAUGAAUUAAUAUGGCCUGACGUAGUUAAAACAUAUCGGUAGACUCGAGUAACUUGUUUAAAUAUUAUUGGUUUUUUUUUUGAAAAAAUAAUUUUGGUCAAAACGAUGUUAUUUUAAAUUUUUUUAUAAAAAAAUUAGAUUAACUUGGGUUAACCCUCCUAUAUUAUACCUAAUUCUUGACCCGGGACGUUGAACCUCAAGUAAAGUUUUAAAAACGUUGUCCCUAUAAUUUUUUUUCUAACAAUGUAGCACUAUAUUCACUUUUCAUUUCUUUAAUUUCACCAUUUUUAUCUUGAUUUAAGUUUUUUUAAUUUAAUUUAAUCAAUUUUAUUAUCGGUUAAAUUUCUUAUAUUUUAAUAGCCUAAAAAAAUUAUAAUAAGUGGUUUACAUUACCAUACAACAAAAAAUUAAUAGCAUACAUAUCUACAGUCAUGAUUGAUUAAAUAUUGAAAAAACUUAUCAAGAAAAUUAAUAUAAUCAAGAAUAAAGAGUUCAGAAUUUUUGUUAAAAUUCAAAAAAAUGGUGAAAUGUCUGAUUUUUAGGGAUAAUGUCAACAAUUUCAUUAAAUCUAAAAAAGUUAUGAAAUCUCCUAUCUUCAAGGAUUAACGUGAAAGUUUUUGUUAAAAUUCAAGAAAUUGUGAAAUCUAUUGUCUUUAGGGAUUAAUGUAAAAAAAAUUAAAAAAUUAAUGAGACCUCCUAUUUUAGAGAAUGAAGAUGGCAAAAUUUUUGUUAAAAUUCUUUUAUUCAUAACAGUUGAGAUUAAAAUAAUUUAGAAAAACAUAAAUAAUGGUAAUUUUUCAUUUAAAAAAAUAUGAUAAGGAUGAUGUUUAACCUAAUACUUGAAUCUUUAAAAAACUAAUAUCAAUUUUAGAAUUUUUAAAUUUUUUUAAUUAUUAGAUAACAAUUCUUUUUAUUGCGUUAGUCACGGUGUGUUGCUAAAAUUAACAUCAUAUUUUACUAUCAUUACACUAUAAAAAAACAAAAAACAAUAUGUAACGGCUCUUCAAAAUAUACUAGCUUUGAUACCCGCGCGAUGCCGUGGGUUAUUUUUUUUUGCAUAAAAAAUAUUAAAAAGAAUAAAAAUUUAAAAAUCUUGGGUUUUUCUACAAAGUUAUACCCAAGAAUCUUGGGUUUGGCUGCAACGCCUGACCUAAGAGUAAUAUUUAUAAUAUUAAUAAUAAAAUUAAACUUGCAUGACCCAAGUUUAAGUGAGUCUGGCUGUAACACCGGACCCAAAAAUACUGGAUGUAGGUCUAGCUAUAAGGUCGUGUCACAAAAGUGUGAUAAUUAAAUAGAUUAAUUACAAAAAACAAAAAAAAUCAACAGGAAGGAAAAAACUAAUGAAGAAAAAGAAAAAAAAUUGAAUUAAUUGGGUUAACCUUUUAAACCAGGUUAUCCCGUAAAACCUGAGAUAUGCGUUAUCAACGUUUGAUAACUAAAUAGAAAAAAAAAUGACGGGUUUACCUAGAAUUAACCAGGUUAACCCAUCAAAUCAAGUUAACCCGUCAAGCCCAGGAUACGUGUCAUGAAAGUAUGAAAGUCUAAUAAUUAAAUAGAAAGAAAAUUAACUUUAACAAACUAAACUAAAUGAAAAAAAUAACUCGUCAAAUCAGGUUAACCCAUCAAACCCGAGAUUCGUAUUAUGAAAAUCUGAUAACUAAAUAAAACAAAUUUAACAUUAACAAACUAAAUCAAACAAAAAAAAUUCAUUAAAAAAAUAAAAAGAAAAAACAAAAGAAAAAAACAGUUAUAUAAUAUAAUACAAUAUAAUUAUAAUUAUAAUGAAAAAACGUGGGGAAAAUUUAAAAAAAUGGAAAAAAAGUGGGGAAAGCUAAAGCUAAAGCUAAAUUCUCAACCAACUCAAUAUUUAAAAAAUAAAUUUAACAAAGAUAAUUUAAAAAAAAAAACAUGUGGGGGAAACACUAUAGCCAAACAAAAACCAUGUAAGGGAAACACUGUAGUAAUCCAUAGUAUUUUUUUUUUAAAAAAAGCUACAAAGCUAAUCUCUCAACCAGUUCAAUAUAUAAAAAAAACGGAAAAAGGCUAUCUAAAAAAAAAAAGUCAAUUUUGGGUAAAAGAAAUGAAAAAAAAUGUACAAAAAAGGAAACAAAAGCGAAAAAAAAACACGUGGGGAAAGCUACAGUGUUUUAAAGAAAAAGACAAAAAAACUAAAUUUUCAACCAGCUCAAUAGUAAAAAAAUAAAAUCAACAAAAAUAAUUCUGAAAAAAAAAAAAACAAAAAAAAUAUGUAAAAAAUGACAAUUUUGGAAAAAAAAAAACAUAUGGGGAAAGUUAAAGCUAGAUUAUCAGCCAGCUCAAUAUUGAAAAAAUAAAUUCGAUAAAGAUAAUUUUUUAAAAAAAAUAUAUGGGGAAACACUGCAGCAAAACAAAAACUAUAUAGGGGAAACACUGUAGCAAUCCAUAUUGUUUUUUUUUAAAAAACUACAAAGCUAAAUUCUCAACCAACUUAAUAAAAAAAAAAAAAUCUAAAAAGAUCAUUUUGAAAAAAAAAAAAGAAUAAAGAAAUCAUAAAAAAAAGAGAAAACAAUGUAUGAGAAUAUUAUAGCAAUCCACAACGAGAUGAUUUGCCCGCGCGCUGCCGCGGACUUAUAAAACAAAUGCACUUGAUAGUGUUAUAAUUGUGAACCAGCGCUAGAUAAGUAAUAGAAAUUAAAGGUAUGAUGGAGCAAAUAUUUCAUGACGGAAAAAAAAGUUAUGUUGGUGAUCAAAAACUUAGAGACUGAACAAAAUGAUUUGUAGCAAUCUACAGUGUUUUGUGAGGAAAGAUACAGUGAUUUCGCCACAUGAUUUAGCUUUUCAGUUAAUAAAAAGCAAAAAAAAAUACAAAGCUAAACUCUCUACCAACUUAAUAUUAAAAAAAAACCAACAAAGAUAAUUUUGGAAGAAAAAAAACCCAUGAGAAAAAACGUUGCAGCAAUUGACAAUGUUUUGUGAGGAAAACUAUAGCGUUUUUCCCAAUAAAAUAAACUAAAAAACUAUUUAGAGAAAUAUUAUAACAAUCCAUAGUGUUUUGUGAGAAAAACUACAACGCUUUCCUCAUAUGAUUUAGCUUUAUUGUAAUUAUAAUUCUGAACCAACUCAAUAUUAAAAAAAAAAUCGAUAAAGAUAAUUUUAGAAAAAAUCAUAAAAAAAUCACAUGGAAAAACACUGCAACAAUUCACAGUGUUUUAAAGAAAAAAAUAACAAAGCUAAAUUCUUAAUCGGCUCAAUAUUAAAAAAAAUCAACAGAGAUAAUUUUAGAAAAAACAAAUAACAAAACAAACACAAAAAAAAGGGAAAAAAAUCAUGUUGGAAACACUGUAGCAUUUCACAGUGUUUUGUGAUGAAAUCUACCGUGCUUCCCCACAUGAUUUAGCCUUAUUUGUAAUGACUUGUAAUUGUAAUUCACAAACAACUCAAUAUUAAAAAAAUAAAAUUAAAAAAGAUAAUUUGAAAAAAAUUAUAACAAAAAAACUAUACGGAGAGAUACUGUAGCAAUCCACAAUGUUUUAUGAGCAAAGCUACAAUACUUUCCCCACAUGAUUAAGCUUUAUUACAAAGUUAAAUUUUAACCAACUCAAUAUUUUAAAAAAAUAAAAUCGACGAAAAUAAUUUUGGAAAAAAAUAUUACGAAAAAAAACACAAAAGAAACUGGAAAAAACCAUGUGAGGAAAAACUGUAUCAAUCCAUAGUGUUUUUUGAGGAAAAACUUGUAUUUACUUGUAAUUUUAAUUUUUAACCAGCUUAAUAUUUAAAAAAUAAAAUUGACAAAGAUAAUUUUAGGAAAAAACAUAACAAAAACAGAAAAAAACCAUGUGGAAAAAAACAUUGUAGCAACCAACAGUAAUUUUCGAGGAAAGUUACAGUGCUUUCUUCACAUAUUGUAACUGUAAUUUUUAACCAGCUCAAUAUUAAAAAAUAAAAUAAAAAAGAUAAUUUCGGAGAAAAUCAGAAAAAAAACCACGCGGAGAAACACUGUAGCAAUCAACAAUGUUUUAAAAAAAAUUACAAAACUAAAUUCUCAAUCAGCUCCAUAUUAAAAAAAAUAAAAAAUAUAAUUUUGAAAAAUAAAGAAAUAAAAUAGAAAAACUAUGUGGAAAAACAUCGCAGCAAUCCACAGUAUUUUUAAGAAAAAAAUUACAAAACAAAAUUUUUAAUCAUGUCAAUAUUUAAAAAGUAAAAUCAACAAAAAUAAUUUUGGAAAAAACAAAAGAAAAAAUUAGGAAAGUUGAAAAAAAAAAAAUUUGAAAAAAAAUUUUUUGAAAAAAAAAAAUAAAAAAAAAACAAAAAAAAAAAGAAAAAAGAGAAAAGUUAAUAAAAAAAAGAAGAGAAGAAUCACUGUGGAUUACUGUUGUAAUCCACAGUAAAAUGUGUGUGGGGGGAACAGUGAUUCCCCCACACCAUUUAGAGUAUGUUUUAAUGUUUUAAAGAAAAAAACUACAUAGUUAAAUUUUUAACCAGUUCAAUAUUUAAAAAAAUUAGCAAAGUUAAUUUUGAAACAAAUUUUUUUUAAAAAAAAAACAAAAAAAAAGAAGAAAUCAAUUUUGGGUAAAAAAAAUGAAAAAAAAAACAUGUAAAAAAAAAACUGCUGCUACAGUGAAAAACCCACAUGUUUUAGAGUUCUUUAAUUUAAGGACACUUUUUACUGUAACUAAAUAUUUUCGAUCCGUAACAAAAUUAUCAGAAAUGAUAAUUAUAUAUAAUGUCAUAAUUAAGUUGAUGCAGCGACACCAAACCCUCUAUAAAAUAGAUUAAAGAUCCAAUUUAAUAAUUUGAUGAAAUUGAAAAUUAAAGAUCUAAUUUAAUAAUUUGAAGGAAUUUGAUAUGAUUUAUAUAUUACUUUCAAAUUAUAUGUAAUCUUUUAUGUUAUGAAAAGGAGGUUUGAAUUCAAGAUUUUCUAGGAAGAAUUAGCAACAAUAUGUAAAGGCAGGUUCAUCUGCAUCGAUACGAGAGAGUUUUAUUUGCUAGGACAUGCCUUGUUGUAUGAUUUAUACAGUGUUUGAUUUUGUACUUCAACAACAUUUAAAAAAAAAUUAAAUUUUGAAACACUACAAAAACUAAAAAAAAAAAAUCUUGAGACACUAAAAUACAAGCUUCCUUUUUUUUUUUUCCAACCUACAAGUUGUGCUCUCCAAAAACUAAUAAAAAAAAACUAAUAAAAACUAACUUAAUUUGAGACACUAAAAUAAAAAAAUGUUGAGACACUAAAAUACAAGCUUCACCUGCAACGCCAAACCCUAAGUAUAUAAACUAACUUCCAUUCACAAUCAUCAGCCGCCUCCUUCUCUUCACCCUCUCUUUCUCUCUGCUCAUCCCGUCAUCAUUGCUUCUCUCUCUCUCUCUCUCUCUCUCUCUCUCUCUCUUUCCAAUCAGAACUAAACAGACGAUGGCUGAGGCACUUCUAUCUCCGAUCUUGGAGCAGUUAACCACGAUCGUUGCUCAACAGGUAUUUUUCUACCAUCUGCAAUAACCUGAUUUACCUAGCAGAGAUAAGAAAUAUAUAUGAAGUUCAAGCCUUUUUUCUUCCUAUCAUAAAAAUAAUACUUUUAACUUGAAUAAAUAAAAAUAAUAUUUUAAAUCCUCAAGUAUAUAUUUGGAUUUUAUUAAAGAAUCUUCUUUUUCUUGUUUUAUUAUUUUUCAUAUUUCCAAAAAUAACCUAAAGAAAAUAUAUCAUUCCAAAUAUAGGAAAACCGAAAAAGGCAAAACAAGAAAUAUUAAGGGUAAAAUAAUCAAUAAAAAGUUCAAAGGAUUACCGAGCGAGUAUAUAUAUAUAUAUAAGGUAAAAUAUCUAUAGUUUAAUGUAAAAUAAAAACCAGAUUUUAUGUCGGUUCAAAGGAGAAAUCCUUCUCUCGGGAGAACAUUAAACUCUUUCCAUGCCUAUAUUAAUUAUAUAUAUAUAUAUAUACACGUUCAGGUUUAACGUUUUACCAUUUAAGAUUCAUUUUAUACCUUCUUGUACAGUAGCAUAGUGCAGACUGAUAUCAUCAUAAUGAUGAUAAAAAGAAAAAAAAUAUAUUAUUAUUUCUAAUAAAUAUUUUAUAUAUAAAUUAUUAAUAUAGUAAAUCCAUUUCACAAUAAAAUAUAUUAAUACAAAAUAGAAAUGUUUCCUAUGCUUGAACUUCCUUGUCUUUUCCACACUAAUAGGUACUGGAAGAGGUGAACCUAGUAGGGGGUGUGAAAUUGUCUUCAAAUCAGAUAAAUGUUUCCCAUGCUUAACGUUUCUUUUCCUUUGUAAACUAAUAGGUACAAGAAGAGGUGAACCUAGUAGUGGGUGUGAAGAAACAAUGUGACAAGCUGAAAAGCAAUCUCCUUGAUAUCCAAUCUGUCCUUGAAGAUGCAGAUAGAAAACAAGUUAAGGAUAAGGCUGUAAGAAAUUGGGUAGACAAGCUCAAAGAUGCAUGUUAUGAUAUGGAUGACGUGCUAGAUGAAUGGAGCACUGCAAUUCUUAGAUGGAAAAUGGAGGAAGCUGAAGAAAAUACUCACAGCCGACAGAAGAUACAGUGUUCCUUCCUGGGAUCUCCUUGCUUUUGUUUCAAUCAAGUGGUCCGACGUCGCGACAUUGCCCUGAAGAUCAAAGAAGUUAGUGAAAAAGUGGAUGACAUUGCCAAAGAGAGAGCUAAGUAUGGCUUUGAUCUGUACAAAGGCACUGAUGAACUCCAGCGACUAACAACUACCUCCUUUGUUGAUGAAUCAAGCGUGAUUGGUCGAGAUGGUGAAAAGAGAAAUGUUGUAAGCAAGUUGCUGGCUGAAAGUAGUCACGAAGCACGGGACGUGGAUGUCAUCUCUCUAGUAGGGCUGGGCGGAAUUGGAAAAACAACUCUCGCCCAACUAGCAUUUAAUGAUUCUGAGGUUACGGCUCAUUUUGAGAAAAAGAUAUGGGUGUGUGUUUCAGAACCAUUUGAUGAGAUUAGAAUAGCCAAAGCUAUCCUUGAGCAGCUUGAAGGGAGACCAACGAAUUUGGUUGAAUUGCAAUCCCUUUUGCAAGGGGUUUCUGAAUCCAUUACUGGAAAGAGGCUCCUUCUUGUCCUUGAUGAUGUAUGGACAGAAAAUCAUGGACAAUGGGAACAACUGAAACCAUCUCUCACAGGCUGUGCACGAGGAAGCAGAAUUCUAGUGACCACUCGUAAGGACGCUGUGGCAACGAUGAUGGGAACUGACCACCGGAUCAACAUUGAGAAAUUGUCCGAUGAGAUAUGCAGGUCAAUAUUCAAUCAUGUGGCAUUCCAGGAAAGAAGCGAAGAUGAGCGCGAAAGAUUGACAGAUAUCGGCGAUAAAAUUGCAAACAAGUGCAAGGGCUUGCCGCUAGCUGCCAAGGUAUUAGGAGGUCUAAUGCAGUCUAAAAGAACAAGAGAAGAGUGGGAACGUGUUUUAUCUAGCGAACUGUGGAGGCUAGAUGAGGUUGAUAGAGAUCAGGUUGAAAGUCGAAUAUUUAUACCUUUGCUUUUGAGUUACUACGAUUUACCUUCUGUGGUAAGACGAUGUUUCUUGUACUGUGCCAUGUUUCCAAAAGACUUCGAGAUGGUCAAAGAUGAAUUGGUGAAGAUGUGGAUGGCUCAAGGUUACAUCAAGGAGACUUCAGGUGGAGAUAUGGAGCUUGUAGGAGAGCGGUACUUUCAUGUCUUGGCAGCGCGCUCUUUCUUCCAAGAUUUUGAGACGGAUAGAUUUGAAGGAAUGAAAUUCAAGAUGCAUGAUAUAGUGCAUGAUUUUGCCCAAUAUAUGACAAAAAAUGAAUGUCUAACCGUGGAUGUCAAUACACUUGGAGGAGCAACAGUGGAGACUUCAAUUGAAAGGGUUCGUCAUUUAAGCAUGAUGGUGUCAGAGGAGACAUCUUUUCCCGUGUCUAUUCACAAAGCCAAAGGUCUUCGCAGCCUCUUGAUCUACACUAGAGACCCUUCGUUUGGAGCUGCACUGCCUGAUUUGUUCAAGCAGUUGACAUGCAUCCGGUCAUUGGAUUUGUCAACGUCUUCUAUCAAAGAAAUACCGAACGAGGUAGGGAAAUUGAUACAUUUGAGACACCUCAAUCUGGCAUCUUGUGGAGAGUUGGAGUCCCUGCCAGAAACCAUGUGUGAUUUAUGCAAUCUGCAAUCCCUAGACGUUACUUGGUGUCGGUCUCUCAAGGAAUUGCCCAAUGCGAUUGGAAAACUUAUCAAAUUGAGGCAUCUCCGGAUUUAUCGUUCAGGUGUGGACUUCAUACCAAAGGGAAUAGAGAGGAUAACAUGUCUUCGAACAUUAGAUGUGUUUAAAGUGUGUGGUGGUGGUGAGAAUGAAAGUAAAGCAGCUAAUCUAAGAGAAUUAAAAAACUUAAAUCACAUUGGAGGGAGCUUUAGUAUACGGAAUCUAGGAGGAGGUAUAGAAGAUGCGAGUGACGCUGCAGAAGCACAACUCAAGAAUAAGAAGCGCCUGCUUCGUUUGGAAUUGGGUUUCGACUACAACCAGGAGAACGGCAUUUUAAUUGAAGCUUUACAGCCUCCGUCAGACUUGGAAUGUCUGACCAUAUCUAGUUACGGAGGGUUGGAUUUGCCACAUUGGAUGAUGACAUUAACCAGAUUACAGGAGCUUAGACUUGAUGAUUGUACAAACCUGGAGGUCUUGCGUCCGUUGGGAGGAUUGCCCAACCUUGAAAUCCUGGUACUGAGCUCGUUGAAGGUGAGAAGGCUGGAUGCUGGAUUUUUAGGUAUAGAAAAGGAUGAGAAUGCCAGUAUUAAUGAAGGAGAAAUUGCAAGGGUCACUGCUUUCCCCAAAUUAAAAAGACUUGAUUUUAGGCAUCUCUUAGAAGUAGAAGAGUGGGAAGGAAUUGAAAGGAGAGUGGGAGAAGAAGAUGUCAACACAACUUCAAUAAUAUCCAUUAUGCCACAACUUCAAUAUUUGAGAAUUAUCAAUUGCCCGUUGCUGAGAGCACUACCAGACUAUGUUUUGGCAGCGCCUCUACAGGAAUUAGACAUAAGGUGGUGCACCAUUCUAAGGAAACGUUACGGGAAGGAGGAGAUGGGUGAAGAUUGGCAAAAGAUUUCUCACAUCCCAAACAGUUAUUUUUAUGAUUAGGUGAGAAAGGCAGAACUCUUUAGAACCUGCUUUGAGUGUAUUAAUUAUUUGCUUUGGUGUUUGCUAAGGUUGAGUGUAAAUAAUAUGUAAGCCUUACCAUUUACUCUAUGUGACUGUUUCAGUGGAUUAAAUCCAAGAAAUUCUUAAACCUCAGUUUCAGUGGAUUUCAUUCAAUGUGACUUUACUGUAAUUCGAUUUUAUUUCCUACUUACCAUUUACUCUCUCAUCCUCUCCCUCUCCCUCUCUCUCUCUCUCUCUCUCUACUGUAAUUGGUUUUAUUUCCUACUUACCAUUUACUCUAUCAAAAGCAGCUGUCAUAUUAUCUCGCUCACGUGAAGCUUAUUCCUUACUUAAAUUCUCCAAAUGCCACUCUAAAAAAAUUGCGUUUGAAAUUUCAACUACUGUAACUCAUAUCUAUAAUUAAUCUAUAUAUUUUAACAUCCUCUCUCUCUCUUUCUCUCUCUCAACAUAAAAUGAUAUGUAAUUCAUAUGUUUCUUUGAGUGUAUUAAUUAUUUAUUAUUGAAUAAAUAAUAAAUAAUUGAAGUAAGGAGAAAGGAAUUAUUUAUUAUUGAAGUAAUAAAUUAUUUAUUACUUCUUCGAGUAAUAUUAAUUAUUUAUUACUUCUUUGUGAUUUACUUCUUUGAGUGUAUUAAUUAUUUAUUAUUGAAGUAAGGAGAAAGGAAUUGAAUUUAGAAUGCUAAAAGUAAGCCAUGGGGGCAGCUGAAGCACAGAGGUGGUAAUUAAGCAAGUAAUCUAGCUAGAUUGCUGCCCUUGGAAGUUAUUAGUGUCACUUCCAAUGCAAGUUCUCUACAAUUUUUAAUCUUUGUAUCGAAGGCUUCAUGCAUGAAAUAAUUUAUUGCUGGAGGAGGAGCAGGGGCCCCUAGCUGCUGUUUAAUAACGAGGCACAUUGCAAUUUUUAAAAAUGUUUUUUUUUUUAUCUAAAGAUAUAUUAAAAUAUCUUCUUAGAUUUUUUUAUUUUUUAUAUUAAUACAUUAAAAUUAUAUAAAAAAAUACUAGAAAAAUAUUAAUUUGACUUUUUAAAGCCAAUAUACACUUUAAAAUACAUUUAAACACAAUUUCAAAUGCAAAAACAAAAAAGUUUAUGAAUCCUAUCAGCCCCAAGGUUGUAUUGUACAUUUAUUAUUGUAAUGUGAGACACGUCUUUCUAAACCAAUAUAUUUGUAAAAUUUAAAAGUUAACUCUUCAUUCAAAUUAUUUAAAUAACCUGAUAUGAGAUAUAUCAUACAUAAUUAUUAGAUUAAUUAAUUCUGAAAAUUUAAUUAAUUAAUUCUGAAAUUAACAAUAAAAAUUAUUUAUGUUAUAUAAUGUAAAUUGUCAAAAAAAAUUUUAACAUCUAAAUCUAUUGAGUUAAUGUAUCUCGUAUAUAAAACUAUAUUUUAACAACAAUUUUGUCCAUGCUUUUCUCAGAGGGAAGAUUGUUAAAGACUUCAACUAAACCAUGAAAAAAAAAUUCACACAAAGCCCUAGCACCAAGUACCAUGGGCCAGCGCUCCCAUGGCCAGGCGAAAAGCUCCCCUGAAGAGCAACAUGUAGAAUUCAGGUAAUAGCUAUCACGCACUUUAAUAAGUUCAAUUAUUAGUAUUUUUAGCUGAAAUAUUGCACAAAAACUGCUAUAGAGAAACCCAUAUUUUGAUUUUGCAAUACUAAAAUGUUGCAUAAAGUUAAAAGUAUGUGUAACUGUGUAAACCAGUGGAACUGUGUAAAGGGGACUUAUGAUUAUGUUUAAAUGAAUUUUUUAAAUAAAUUGCAUGUCUUCACCAACUUUUACCUGCUUUUCUCACUUUAAUUUCUUUUCUUACUUUAAUUUUUUUUCUUUCCAUUCAACUUUCACCCAAAAAAAAAACAUGUAAUUGGAUUCUAAUAUUCAACAAAAAAAAAAUCAACUUAAUUGUUAAAAUAAAAUUUAGAGAUUAAAUUAAAAAUUUUCAAAAAUUUCAUUGCUCCAACCCGCAAUGAGAGAGGGUAAUAAUAAUUUAAUAAACAGUAAAAAAACCCCACGCUUUAGCUUUAUACUUAAUAUUGAAGAUUUAUAUUUUUAAUAAAUUCAACAAAAUAUACUGAAUGUCUAGAAGCUUGGUGGCCAAGUUCAGAUCAUGAGUUUUCGUUUAUUGUCGAGGAUGAUUUGGAGGUUUCGCCGCUGUUUUAUAAAUUUGUGAGGGGUUUGAUUGUUAAUUACCGUUACAAUGUGUCGAAUUUUAGUCCUUUUAUAUAUGAUAUGGUGCUUCACUUCAGCGUCAACGGUUUGUCCCAGGGACUGCUCUUUUUUCAGGUUUUGUACUUGUUAGACUGGAUGUUUUAAUGUUCAAUGUUAAGGUUUCCAGAUUUCUUGAUUUGUUAUAAAAAAUUGAAUUCAUUAUAUUCUUUAAAUAUCCUUGGAUGUUUUUGAGUUAAAAAUCCACUAUUACCAUUAUUGUCGCCACCCCAAUCCUUUUUCUAUCCUAUAAGUAAAUUCUUGAAUUUAAUAAAUUUUAGUGCUUAAUUUAUAAAAUUAUUUUCAAUCAAGUCACACUUGAUUAAUUAUCUUAAUUUAAUUUCUGACUAAUGAUUCUUAAUGUAUAUGACCCAUUGAGUUUCUAAUAUGUUGGCCCCAAAUAUAAGUUAUGUUUUAAUGUUCAAUGUUAAGGUUUCCAGAUUUCUUGAUUUGUUAUAAAAAAUUGAAUUCAUUAUAUUCUUUAAAUAUCCUUGGAUGUUAACGUUUCUAAGGUGUUUUGGGUCAAAAGAACCUUGAGCUCAAUUUUCUAGCCACCACAGUGGUUGAAAUUUGAGCAAAAUAGACGACGCGUUGUUUAUUUUGACAGACAACAUGUCAUUUGAUUUAUUUAUUUUUUUAAAAUAAAACGAAUGACAUGUCGUCCACCCCAGGUGCAUUUUAAAAAACGACCUAGUCACGUGGUCCUUCCUUGGCAGGCCCGUGCAUGGGCCCUGAUGAAAGGGGUUAGGUAGACCCAGCAACGCCUAACCUUUUUUUUAUUUUUUUUUAUUUCAAUUAAUGCUUCUUUUUUUAUUUAAAAAGAAACUUUAUUAUAUUUAUAUUAAUACACUUUCUCUUUUUUAUUUUGUUUAAAAAGCCUUUUUUAAAAGAUGAUGAUUUUUUGGAUAUCCAUUUAAUUUUCAAAGAGAUUUUCCUUAUUCAUCUAUAAUUAAUGCCAAAUAAAUUGUUUCACAUCAAAUUAACCUCUACAUUUUGUUUCACUUUUGAAACUCAAAAUGACAAGUCAUUUCCAUAGAAACAUACAAAUAGAAAAAUGACCGAUGCAUAAUACUUAAACCCAAUGUGAAGCAAUGGCCAAGUAUAGACUUGCCUUUGCCUUUUUCCUUUUUACACAUAUUUUCUCAUUGUUUCAGUGACAUUUGCUUGCAUCAACCUUGUAGGAAAUUAGUUGCUUUAUACUGAAGUUUCAGAAUCAUACUCUAACCCCAGUCUUAAGCAAAUUAUCUUAAUUUGCAGUAUAUAUUGCCUAAACUUCAUUGAGAAUAACCUCAAAUUAAUUUUCUCUGGCACUCCACAGUAGAUCACUAUCCUUCCUAUCUUCAUCAACUUCUCAUUUCAUCAGUCAACAACGCCCCAUUACUUUCUCUCCUUUUUCUUGACACAUUCAGUAGUAAGAACAACAAUGGCUGACGCACUUGUAUCCCCAAUUUUGGAGCAGUUAACCACGAUCGUUGCUCGACAGGUACUCUUUUUUGUUUCUUUCUUUUUUUUUUGUUUUUUUUAUAAUCAACAGGUACUUAAUUACUUUUCUACAAUUUUGCAAUUAACCUAACAUUUAUAGUUCAUUAUACAUUGAUUUCAUUAUCUUAUAGAAUAUCUGUUAAUUUGUCAGAAGCUAAAUCAGUAGCUUGAUUUAUAUAUUAUCACAUUGCAUGUUAUCAAAUAAAAUACACACACAGACACACAAGAUAGCGGGUUCUUACGAUUCUCUUUCUUUAUAUCUUUUGUGCUAUACAAAAUAUGGUUAUUGUGAUGGCUGGUUAGAACAAAUCAAUAUAGUAAAAUAGUAGUAAAUUCCUUUUUCAAUAAUUCCUUAUCAUAUUUGAAUGCAUAAAUCAUUAUAUUUGUAAUAAAAUUAUUAUGAUAAAAUGAUUAAAAUAAAUAUAGUCAAAUAUUCGAUUAAUUACAAACAUGAUUAUAGAAAUUCUAAUAUUUCUUUUUUAUUUUGAUAUCAACCUCACAGAAUUUUUAAAAAAAUAGACUAUGAUAAUUAUUAAAAGUCACCUAAUAAUAUUGUGAAAUUGCAAUGUAUUGCGCUCCACAAUUAUAUGAUUAUUAUAAUAUCUAUGAAUUCUAUCUUUUAUCUAAAGAAAUCCUUUAUUCAAAUAAAAUAUAUUUUAAUUCACGCAUCUAGUAAAUUUUAGUACAAUAAUUGUGCAUUAGCAUUACAUUAUUUACGAGUCAUUUUAUUUUAGAGAGUUUAUUAUAUAUAAUUUGAAUAUAAUUAACAAUAUAAAUAUAUUAAUUGCUACUGUGAAAAAGUUUAAUAAAAAUGAUUUAAUCUAUUAAUUGCUAAAAAAUAAGAAUUUGUACUGAAAUCAUAGAAAUGUUUCCUAUGCUUAACGUUUCUUUUCCUCUGUACACUAAUAGGUACAAGAACAGGUGAACCUAGUAGUGGGUGUGAAGAAACAAUGUGACAAGCUGAAAAGCAAUCUCCUUGAUAUCCAAUCUGUCCUUGAAGAUGCAGAUAGAAAACAAGUGAAGGAUAAGGCUGUAAGAGAUUGGCUAGACAAGCUCAAAGAUGCAUGUUAUGAUAUGGAUGACGUGCUAGAUGAAUGGAAGCACUGCAAUUCUUCGAUGGAAAAUGGAGGAAGCUGUAGAAAAUACUCACAGCCGACAGAAGAUACAGUGUUCCUUCCUGGGAUCUCCUUGCUUUUGUUUCAAUCAAGUGGUUCGACGUCGCGACAUUGCCCUGAAGAUCAAAGAAGUUAGUGAAAAAGUGGAUGACAUUGCCAAAGAGAGAGCUAAGUAUGGCUUUGAUCUGUACAAAGCCACUGAUGAACUACAGCGACUAACAACUACCUCAUUUGUUGAUGAAUCAAGCGUGAUUGGUCGAGACGGCGAAAAGAGAAAUGUUGUAAGCAAGUUGCUGGCUGAAAGUAGUCAAGAAGCACGGGACGUGGAUGUCAUCUCUCUAGUAGGGCUGGGAGGAAUUGGAAAACUCGCCCAACUAGCUUUUAAUGAUGCUAAGGUUACGGAUCAUUUUGAGAAAAAGAUAUGGGUGUGUGUAUCAGAUCCAUUUGAUGAGGUUAGAAUAGCCAAAGCUAUCCUUGAGGAGCUUGAAGGGAGGGCAUCUGAUUUGGUAGGAUUGCAAUCCCUUUUGCGAAGGGUUUCUGAAUCCAUUAAGGGAAAGAGGUUCCUUCUUGUCCUUGAUGAUGUCUGGACAGAAAAUCAUGGACAAUGGGAACAACUGAAACCAUCUCUCACAGGCUGUGCACGAGGAAGCAGAAUUCUAGUGACCACUCGUAAGGACGCUGUGGCAACGAUGAUGGAAACUGACCACCGGAUCAACAUUGAGAAAUUGUCCGAUGAGAUAGGUGAGAAAGACAGAACUCUUUAGAACCUGCUUUGAGUGUAUUAAUUUAUUAUUAUUAUUUUUUUUGCUUUGAGAGUAUUAAUUAUUUGCUUUGGUGUUUGCUAAGGUUGAGUGUAAACAAUAUGGAAGCCUUACCAUUUACCUAUGUGACCUCUCUCAUCCUCUCAACAUAAAAUGAUAUGUAAUUCAUAUGUAUAAUUUCUCUCUCUCUCUCUCUUUUAAACCUCAGUUUCAGAUAAAUGAGAGAAUGGUAGACUUGGAAGCUAAACCUUUCAUCUAUAAGUGAUAUACCCAUCGAUUUUGGAGACUAAAUCCAAAUAAAGUUAUCCAAACCUAACACAAAAAAUCUUCAACAAUAAUUAAAUUACAAAUCAACAACAAAAUUCAGCAGCAAGGCCUAAUUAAAUGUUUACUCAUUUUUAUUUUUUUUAUAAAAAUAUGGUGAUCAAAUGCAGGUCAAAUAUUUUUAUUUUUUAAUAAAAAUUUAGUUCUUUAAAUAUAUUUUUCUAGUUCAAAAAAUAUAAUAAAUUAAAAAUUUUAUAUACAUCUAAUCAAAUAAAUUAAAAAAUAUUUAUGUUAAUAAAUAAAUAAAAAUUUGUUAAUAAUACUUAAAAACAAAACUGGUUCAAGCCUUCAUUGAGCUCAAUGUAAAGAGGACCAACCUGCCGUCAUAAAAGCCCAAAAUACUCCAUUAUAAAAGCCCAAGUAAAUAUCCCUGUCUUUCUCUCCCACACACUCGCAUUCUCAGUUUUUCCUCUCUGCGUCUUCAAGCAAUAAACCAUGGGUGAUAGCCAGUACUCCUUUUCUCUCACUACUUUCAGUCCUACCGGAAAGCUAGUACAGAUUGAGCACGCAUUGACUGCCGUUGGAUCAGGCCAAACUUCUCUCGGAAUCAAAGGUUGUUGCAAUUUAAGCUCUCUCUCUCUCUCUCUUUUCUCUCAUUUUCUUGUCAUUUUCGAAUGUACUAUGUUGUUGAUGGGUGCUUAGAUACUAUGUUGUUGAAUUUUUUUUUUUUGGUGUUGUAGCGGCAAACGGUGUUGUUAUUGCAACUGAGAAGAAAUUGCCAUCUAUUUUAAUCGAUGAAUCUUCUGUAAGUAAACUUUUUUUUUUUUUUUCGGUUUUGUUAUAUUCUUUGGUUGAAAUUCAAGAAACCCUUUUGUUUUUUUGCGUUUUUUAUUGUGUUUUCUUUGUGAACUUUUCGGGCUGGCCCUGCGAUCUUUUAGUAAUAACCUAAGUAUAGAGACAUGGGCUUGUAGCACUCUAAUUGAAGAAGCUGAUGAUUCUUGUGGAAAAGCAACGUGGAUUCUAGUCAAUGAGGUGUUGGUCUAGUAGUUAACAGGUUUAUAUUGAGAUUCUUAGGAGUCAUUUGAGUUUAGUGACAUCGGCUGGUAGAAAUCUGUUAAAAUUCGGUGUAAAUUUGUAAUUUUUAUUAGUAAUUUGAGCUUAGUGAUUUGGGCUCUUGCCAAUGAGGCGUUACUAUACUAGUUAAUGACUCUAAGAUUGAGACUUUGGAUGUUGGAGUCUCUAGAUUUAUAUCCUCAUUAAUCCCACAUUGUAUAAAAAGGUGUUGUUGAUUAUUUUAAAUCGUCUUGAAUGAGGUGGAGAUGGUUUGAUUUUGGAGCCAGUCGAUUGGUCUAUUAUUCUAAUUUGCAAGAUGGCAUGGAUUUUGGAUUAAAUCCAAAUAAAGUUAUCUAAACCUAACACAAAAAAUCUUUAACAAUGAAUGUCAUAACUCAAUUCUGGGUUAUUCUUCAAAAUCUAUUUUUUUAAAAUAAUAAUAAAAGCUGGCAACGUGGAGAAAGUAGGCGGGAAAUCAAGUUGCAAUUUUUGGAGGAAAUUCAAGACCUAAUUGUACUCCAUUAUGUCCAAAAAUGGAGAAAAAAAUGCAAAUUCAAGGUCAAAUUCAAUGAUUAUUGGACGAAUUUGCGUAAAAAUUAAGUCCAAUAACAUAAUUAAAUUUUUAAUAGGCCAAUUUGAUUUAAUCAUGGACCAAAUUAAAUUUUAAUUAUGUUUAAGAAUUAAUUUCGGUCCAAUUAAAGGAUUUAAUUAAGUGCAAGGACUUAAUUAUACUUUAAAUGGGUCAAAUUAAUUUUAUUUGGAGCCUAAUUGGUGAAAAAUUAAGUUUGAGAGCCUAAUUUGAGCAUAAUUGAGAAGAUUGGAAUUUUAAGAGACUAAAUUUAAUUUUUACCAAGUUAAUUGAUUGAAAUUAGGGGUCAAAUUGCAAGAAAAUUGAAGUUUUGGGGUCAAUUAGGGGUUAAAUUGACAAAAUUCACAACCAAGGAUCAAUCUGCAAAAGGCGCCAAACUAUAGGGGUUUAAUUGACAAAAUUCAGGGGUCAAAUUGAAGAAAUUGAAAGUUUAAUGGUCAAUUAGGGAUGAAAUUGCAUAAAUUCGAGACCAAUGACUAUACUGCAAAAGGCGCGUAAAUACAGGGCUAAAGUUGAAGUUCUGCAGGGGUCUUAUUCCAUUAAAUCAAAGGUUUAGGGUCAAUUAGGGGUUCAAUUGAACCAAAUUGAAAGCUAGAGGACUACAUUGAACUUCGGCAAAAUCCCUAAUUUUAACCCAAAAUGAUGUUGUUUUUGCGUUAAAAAAAAAAAGAAAGAUACCAGGCGACACGUUGCCUGGUCACUGUUCAUCUUCCCCGUGAACGCUGCCCGGGUAGCAGUUUUGCAGGUGCAUUUAAUGCCUCGCAUGUCCCCCAAAAUUGACAACACGUGCACCAAAAUAGUCACCUGAAAUCCCUCUAUCCCCGAGUAUUAUCUGGUCAGGCCUAUUAACAUGAAAACUGCUCCAGUGACCGGCCUGAAGUAGCCAACUCGGGCAGUUUUGGACUGUCAAAUUUGGCAGAUCGAGGUGCACACUUUGAACCAACGGUUGGAAUGCUUACCAACCAAACCAAAGGCCACGAUUUGACACCAUUAAAGAAAAAAUGUUCCUCUUCCAUCUCCUACAAAUAGGGCUGCAUUUCAUGGCCUGGAGGAGGAAGAAAUCGAGUCCAAAAUUGACAAAAAACCAGCCGCACCCUUCUGUUUUUCUCCUUUUCUUUUCUGCAACGAGUACUCUUUCUCUUUUCUCCUUCUCAGCCGUGCAUUCAGCCACCACCACUACCACCGCUAGCUUGACAACCAUCCUCUCCAGCACACUUCUCCCUCUCCAUUGAUUUCUUCUCCCUUUUCCUCCAUAGCGACAGCAGCUCAUCAGCACCACCAUUUUCUUUUUCUUCCUUCUCCAGCACCGGCAACAGCAACAUCAGCACCGACCUCCAUCCCCACAACCAGCUUUACCACCAUCAUUUCCAUCAACCCAGCUCUUCACCAGUGGCGGAGCAGCCACCGUGACCUUCUCUCUCUUCUCCUUCCAGCUUUUCUCUCUCCUCUGCAACUUUUUCUUCUUCCUCGCACAGUCGAAUCUGGCCACCAUCACCUCAGCCGACGCCCCCUGAGCCACCGGCUAAACCACCUCAUCACGACCGAGACCCCCACGCCAGGCAACUUCCUCCUCCCUGCUUUGCCUCUUUCUUCCUCGUCGUGGCUGCUGCAUGCAGAAUUUAUUUCUACAUGGAGUAAGCUAAUUAAUUAGCCCCUGGUUUGGGUCGGGCCAGUUAUAGCCCUGCCCAAGUGGUUGGGUCUUGCCUGGCCCCCAUUUAAAAAAAAAUCAAAAAAAGUUUUCAAAAAUCAUUUUAAAAAAAAUUUGGGAUUUUUCUCGCAUAUUUUUCUACCAAUUUUGCAUAAUAUCGGGUUGUAUAUUUACACUGUAAAAUACAAAUCUAGUAUUAAAAUACCCGGUUUUCUCCAAAAUAUUUCAAAAAAAAAAUCAAAACAUUUUCAAAAAGAAAAAAAUAUUUCGUUGCAUAUGGCCAAAUUCUAAAAAAAUUUCAAGCAUAUUUUCAUAAAAAAAAUUGCAUCUCUCUCAUGUUUUGAAAAUAAAAAAUGGAUAUCAUAAACAGUUUAUGAUCAUCCAUUAGUAUUUGGCCAACAUGUCAAAAAUCUUUUUCAAAUCUUUUUUUUAUGAUCUAGAUGUAGACUUUAAUAUUUGUGGGGUGUAAAAUUACAUGAUAAAGUACACCCUUAUGUAUUAAAGAUACAAGGUGUAAAUAAAUGCGAUGCCAAAAUUCAGACUUUAGAAUAGUUAGAAUUUAACCCGAUAAGGUAGAAACUCUCUCAUGAAGAGAGAUCUGCCUUGAGCCUUAGAAAAGACUAACGAAUAAAAACCCAACUUAGAAAAAAAACAAUCAAACAAACAAUGCAGCUUACCUGAGGUAGGGUGCAUUGGGGGUGAUGCGUCUUUCCCUUGCAUAACCAGUCCCUUACUCAUACUCUCGCAGACCAUAGAUUCCUAGUGACCAUAAUACUAGGUGGCGACUCCUAAACAUUAAUCAUAAUUCUAUAAUUAAAUCCAAAAACCCUUUCCAACACACAACACCUCACAUAGGAGGCACGGCAAAGAGCCUCCGCCGUCGCGGCGCUCACGCCCCCGCGACAAUGAAUAUGAUUUCUGCUAAUGAAAGGCAAGCCCCCUAGUGCCUGUGCUUUCUAAAUGCCAUCACAGCCCCAUUCAAGGAACUUCCAGACAGAGGAUUCUUCAGACCAAUAGCAUUAAUAAUGGAAGACAAUAUAGAUUCAAACUAUGAUAUCAGAAUCAAUAUAGAUACCACCAUAUUUGCUUAACCCAACAUACAAAGGACAAAUUGCAGAAACAAUGAUUCUAAACAUAAUAGAACCAGCACAUGGAAUAUAAAACAAAAGUUCAUCUCAACUCUAGUGAAGAUAUUCUAGGGGAGUUUUUCGAUCUAUUUUUGAGGGGUUUGUUGGGUAUUUUGAUUCAUUAGCAGCCUUCCAAGUCUUUGUGAUAUUAAUCCGUAAAGACAUGUAAAAAUACCUAGUUACCAUGAUGAGUUUCUCAAAUUUUUUUCAUAUGAAAAGAGAGGUUGAAACCCCGGACCAGUGACCUCCUAGGAAUCAUUAUGCACCCCAACCCACAUGGAAGUGUGAGAUCAACCUCUUAGGAAUCAUUGUGCACCCCAACUCAUAUGCAAGUGUGUAAUUGUUGGUGGACCUCGAGUUGCAGGCUCUCCCUUGUGGUUUUGUUUUUUAGAGUGGCUUACUGCUCACCCAUGGGUGGUGUCAAGGAGAUAUUAACUAACACAUGGUUUCCAAUUCAAGAGCCAUCAUCAAAAUCACAAGAUUCUGAUUGCCAAAUUCUCAACCAAAUAAAAGUUUGAUUAAAUUGAAUUGAAUAGCACCAAAUAUUCAAUGGAUCAACAAAAAUAAAAGGUAAUGUUUAUAAAACCAAUUUUAAUAUAGCUCAAAAUUAAGCGGAUCUUUUCGGUAAUUAAGGUAAGAACUUCAACAAAAAAAAAUAAAGAAAAGAAUUAAUAUGGCCUGACAUGGUUAAAAUAUCCCGGUAAACUCAAGUAAAAUUUGGUUAAAUAUUGUUGAUUUUUUUUGGAAAAAACAAUUUUAGUCAAAACAAUAUUAUUUUAAUUCAGAUUUGACAACUCAGGAUGCCUACUUUGAGGCAAUGGUUGGGAUCCUUACCAACUGAAUCAAGGGCUGAAAUUUUUUCCUGGUAUAAACAAGAUUGCUCUCUUCCACCUCCUAUAAAUAGAGGUGGAUUUCCUGGCCUGGGGGAGGAGAAAAUUAGGACCAAAGUCGGCAAAAAACCAGCCCCUCUGCCCUUGUUUCUGCAGUUUUUCUCUCCCUCUCUCCCCCCACCGUUCGAGCCACCACCUGCUCCACCACAGGUAGCUAGCCCAACCACAAGCUGAUCACCCCCAUUCCUGAAACAGUCACCGUUUCUUCCUCUCUCUCACCUCUGCAAAAUCCUUCUUCCUUCCCCCGUGAUCGACUCCGGCCACCAUUCCUCCCAGCGACGCCACCAAAACCAUCAACACAACCUCCUGAUCACGGCCGAGACUCCUGCUUCGAGUGAGCCGCUCCUCCGUCAACCUUCAUUUUCUGCAACCAUUUCAGUUGCAUGCAGAACGUGAACCACUGUUCACGUUCUGCAAAUAAUUAACAUUAACUUUGGGUCGGGCCAGUUAUGGCCUAGCCUAAUUGGUCGGGUCUGCCCUGGCCCAAAAAAAAGAGAGAAAAUGUGUUGGGCCAAGAUCGGCCCAUUGUUUUCUGGGUUUGUGCCUGACCCACUUAUCUGGGCCGACCCGACCCACAUGUUUUAAUAAUAUUUAAUUAAUAUAUAAUAUUAUAUUAUAUAUUUCUUUUAAAAAAAUAAAAAAAUAAAAAAUCCUUUGAAAAAAAUUGUGAUUUUUUCACAUUUUUUUCUAUCAAUUUUGCAUAAUAUUGGGUUGUAUAUUUACACUUUAAAAUACAAAUCCGAUAUUAAAAUACCUGGUUUUCUCUGAAUUUUUUUUAAAAAAAAUUUCAAAACAUUUUCAAAAAGAAAAAAAAAUUUUUGUUGCAUAUGGACAAAUUCUAAAAAAUUUCCAAGGAUAUUUUCAUUAAAAAAAAUUGCAUCUUUCUCAUGUUUUGAAAACCCAAAAAAAUAGAUAUCAUAACCGGUUUAUGAUUAUCUAUUAGGGUUCGACCAAAAUAUCAAGAACUUUUUUUCAAUUUUUUUUUAGGAUCCAGACGUAAACUUUAAUAUUUGUGGGGUGUAAAAUUACAUGAUAAAGUAUACCCUCGGGUAUUAAAAAUACAAGGUGUAAAUAAAUACGAUGCUAAAAUUUAGACUUUAGAACAGUUAGGAUUUAACCCAAUAAGGUAGAGACUUUUUCAUGAAGAGAGAUCUACCUUAAACCUUAGAAAAGACCAACGAAUAGAAACCAGACUUAGAAAAAAAAAUUAAACAACAACGUAGCUUACCUUAGGUAGGGUACAUUGGAGGUGAUGCGUCUUCCUCUUGCAUAACCAAUUCUUUACCCAGACUCUCGCAAACCAUAGGUUCCUAGUGACCAUAACACUAGGUGGCGACUCCUAAACAUUAAUCGUAAUUUCAUGAUUAAAUCCAAAAACCCUUCCCAACACACCACACCUCACACAAGAGGCACGACAAUAGCCUCUACCGUCGCCAGACGACGUCGCAUUGGCGCUCGACCCCCUUGACAACACUAUUAAAAAACAAAAAACAAUAUGUAAUGGCUCUUCAAAAUAUAUUUAAAAACACUUUUUACUGUCACUAAAUUUUUUUGAUCCGUAACAAAAUUAUCAGAAAUGGUCACUACAUAUAGUGUCAUAAUUAAGUUGAUGCAGUGACACCAAACCCUCUAUAAAAGAGAUUAAAGAUCCAAUUUAAUAAUUUGAUGAAAUUGAAAAUUAAAGAUCCAAUUUAAUAAUUUGAUGAAAUUGAAAAUUAAAGAUCCAAUUUAAUAAUUUGAAGGAAUUUGAUAUGAUUUAUUACUUUCAAAUUAUAUGUAAUCUUUUUUGUUAUGAAAAAAGGGGUUUGAAUUCAAGAUUUUCUUGGAAGAAAAAUACUAAAAUCAUUCAAGUUACAACUCAUUGAAGAUAGUUCAAUGCAGAUGAUAAAACUUGAAUAUCAAAUCCUGGAAACUACAAUAUGCUUAGCCUUCAGCUAGUUAAAAAAACGAAUAUCAAAUCCUGGAAACUACAGUUGAUAAAUAAACCUGGUCCUCGGAACCUGCUUUCAAGUCUCGUUAAUAUCACAUUGCUUAGCAAAAACCCUAAUUCCCGCAAGAACCCUGCUUUCAAGUUUUUCAAUUGCAUGAGUUGCUUUUACUUCCCCUGUCAUUCCAAUUUUCUUUGAUUCUCAUUUCAUCCUUUUAUGGUCAUCAAAUCUUUCUCAUUACUUCAGGUAUAUACGUACAUCACAUCAAUUUCAUUUUUCAACCUACAAGUCGUGCUCUUCCUUCACCACAGCCCUACAAAAACUAAUAAAAAAAUGUUGAGACACUAAAAUACAAGCUUCACUAGUAAAAAAAACUACAAGUUGCAAGAACUCCACCUGCAACACCAAACCCUAAGUAAAUAAACUAACUUCCAUUCACAAUCAGCCGCCUCCUUCCCUUCACCGUCUCUUUCUCUCUGCUCAUCCCAUCAUCAUUGCCUCUCUCUCUCUCUCUCUCUCUCUCUCUCCAAUCAGAACUAAACAGACGAUGGCUGAGGCACUUGUAUCUCCGAUCUUGGAGCAGUUAACCACGAUCGUUGUUCAACAGGUAUUUUUCUACCAUCUGCAAUAACCUGAUUUACCUAGCAGGGAUAAGAAAUAUAAAGGUCAAGCCUUUUUUCUUCCUAUCAUAAAAAGAAUACUUUUAACUUGAAUAAAUGAAAAUGGUAUAUGUUUGGAUUUUAUUAAAGAAUCUUCUUUUUGUUGUUUUAUUAUUUUUCAUAAUUCCAAAAAUAACCUAAAGAAAAUAUAUCAUUCCAAAUAUAGGAAAACCGAAAAAGGCAAAACAAGAGUUGCCAAUUCUCUUUAAACUGAACUAUUAAGGGUAAAAUAAUCAAUAAAAAGUUCAGAGGAUUAGCGAGCGAGUGUAUAUAUAUAUAUAUAUAUAUAUAUAUAUAUAUAUAUAUAUAUAAGGUAAAAUAUAUCUAUAGUUUAAUGUAAAAUAAAAACCAGAUUUUAUGUCGGUUCAAAGGAGAAAUCCUUCUCUCGUGAGAACAUUAAACUCUUUCCAUGCCUAUAUUAAUUAUAUAUAUAUACGUACAAGUUUAACGUUGUACCAUUUAAGAUUCAUUUUAUACCUUCUUAUACAGUAGCAUAGUGCAGACUGAUAUCAUCAUAAUGAUGAUAAAAAGAAAAAAGAAAUAUUAUUAUUUCUAAUAAAUAUUUUACAUAUAAAUUAUUAAUAUAGUAAAUCCAUUUCACAAUAAAAUAUAUUAAUACAAAAUAGAAAUGUUUCCUGUGCUUGAACUUCCUUGUCUUUUCUACACUAAUAGGUACAGGAAGAGGUGAACCUAGUAGGGGGUGUGAAAUUGUCUUGAAAUCACAGAAAUGUUUCCUAUGCUUAACGUUUCUUUUCCUUUGUACACUAAUAGGUACAAGAAGAGGUGAACCUCGUAGUGGGUGUGAAGAAACAAGUCGACAAGCUGAAAAGACAUCUCCUUGCUAUCCAAUCUCGCAUUGAAGAUGCAGAUAGAAAACAAGUGAAAGAUGAGGCUGUAAAGGAUUGGCUAGACAAGCUCAAAGAUGUAUGUUAUGAUAUCGAUGACGUGCUAGAUGAAUGGAGCACUGCAAUUCUUAGAUGGAAAAUGGAGGAAGCUGAAGAAAAUACUCGCAGCCGACAGAAGAUGCGAUGUUCCUUCCUGAGAUCUCCUUGCUUUGGUCUCAAUCAAGUGGGUCAACGUCGGGACAUUGCCCUUAAGAUCAAAGAAGUAUGUGAAAAAAUGGAUGACAUUGCCAAAGAGAAAGCUAUGGAUGGCUUUGUUCCGUACAGAGCCACCGAUGAACUACAACGACUAAUAAGUACCUCCUUUGUUGAUGAAUCAAGCGUGAUUGGUCGAGAUGUUGAAAAGAAAACUGUUGUAAGCAAGUUGGUGGGUGAAAGUAGUCAGGAAGCACGGGACGUUGAUGUCAUCUCUCUAGUAGGGCUGGGUGGAAUGGGAAAAACAACUCUCGCCCAACUAGCUUUUAAUGAUGCUGAGGUUACGGCUCAUUUUGAGAAAAAGAUAUGGGUGUGUGUUUCAGAACCGUUUGAUGAGGUUAGAAUAGCAAAAGCAAUCAUUGAGCAGCUUGAAGGGAGUCCAACGAAUUUGGUUGAAUUGCAAUCCCUUUUGCAAAGGGUUUCUGAAUCCAUUACUGGAAAGAGGUUCCUUCUUGUCCUGGAUGAUGUCUGGACAGAAAAUCAUAGACAAUGGGAACCACUGAAACUCUCUCUCAAAGGCGGUGCACGAGGAAGCAGAAUUCUAGUGACCACUCGUAAGGACGCUGUGGCAACGAAAUUGGGAACUGACCACCGGAUCAACAUUGAGAAAUUGUCCGAUGAGAUAUGCAGGUCAAUAUUCAAUCAUGUGGCAUUCCAGGAAAGAAGCAAAGAUGAGCGCGAAAGAUUGACAGAUAUCGGCGAUAAAAUUGCAAACAAGUGCAAGGGCUUGCCUCUAGCUGCCAAGGUAUUAGGAGGUCUAAUGCAGUUUAAAAGAACAAGAGAAGAGUGGGAACGUGUUUUAUCUAGCGAACUGUGGAGGCCAGAUGAGGUUGAUAGAGACCAGGUUGAAAGACAAAUAUUUAUACCGUUGCUUUUGAGUUACUACGAUUUACCUUCUGUGGGAAGACGAUGUUUCUUGUAUUGUGCCAUGUUUCCAAAAGACUACGAGAUGGACAAAGAUGAAUUGGUGAAGAUGUGGAUGGCUCAAGGUUACCUCAAGGAGACUUCAGGUGGAGAUAUGGAGCUUGUAGGAGAGCAGUACUUUCAAGUCUUAGCAGCGCGCUCUUUCUUCCAAGAUUUUAAGACGUAUGGUCGAGAAGGUAUUGCAUUCAAGAUGCAUGAUAUAGUGCAUGAUUUUGCCCAAUAUAUGACAAAAAAUGAAUGUCUAACAGUGGACGUCAAUAACCUUGGAGAAGCAACAGUGGAGACUUCAAUUGAAAGGGUUCGUCAUUUAAGCAUGAUGCUGUCAGAGGAGACUUAUUUUCCCGAGUUCAUUCAGAAAGCAAAAGGUCUUCGCAGCCUCUUGAUCAACACUAGAGACCCUUCACUUGGAGCUGCACUUCCUGAUCUAUUCAAGCAGUUGACAUGCAUCAGGUCAUUGAAUUUGUCAGAGUCUUCAAUCAGAGAAUUGUCAGAGUCUUCAAUCAAAGAAAUACCAAACGAGGUAGGGAAAUUGAUACAUUUGAGACACGUCAAUUUUGCAUAUUGUUAUCAGUUGGAGUCCCUGCCAGAAACCAUGUGUGAUUUAUGCAAUCUGCAAUCCCUAGACGUUACUUGGUGUGGUUCUCUCAAGGAAUUGCCUAAGGCGAUUGGAAAACUUAUCAAAUUGAGGCAUCUCCAGAUUGAUGGUUCAGGUGUGGCCUUCAUACCAAAGGGAAUAGAGAGGAUAACAUGUCUUCGAACAUUAGAUGUGUUUAAAGUUUGUGGCGGUGGUGAGAAUGAAAGUAAAGCAGCUAAUCUAAGAGAAUUAAAAAACUUAAAUCACAUUGGAGGGAGUCUUAACAUACGGAAUCUAGGAGGAGGUAUAGAAGAUGCGAGUGACGCUGCAGAAGCACAACUCAAGAAUAAGAAGCGCCUGCGUCGUUUGGAAUUGGUUUUCGACAGAGAGAAAACAGAGUUGCAAGCGAAUGAAGGCUCUUUAAUUGAAGCUUUACAGCCUCCGUCAGACUUGGAAUAUCUGACCAUAUCUAGUUACGGAGGGUUUGAUUUGCCAAAUUGGAUGAUGACAUUGACCAGAUUACUGGCUCUUGAACUGCAUGAUUGUACAAAGCUGGAGGUCUUGCCUCCGUUGGGAAGAUUGCCCAACCUUGAAAGCCUGGCAUUCUGGUCGUUGAAGGUGAGAAGGCUGGAUGCUGGAUUUUUAGGUAUAGAAAAAGAUGAGAAUGCCAGUAUUAAGGAAGGAGAAAUUGCAAGGGUCACUGCUUUUCCCAAAUUAAAAACACUUGAGAUUUGGCAUCUCGAAGAAGUAGAAGAGUGGGAUGGAAUUGAAAGGAGAUCAGUGGGAGAAGAAGAUGCCACCACAACUUCAAUAAUAUCCAUGAUGCCACAACUUCGAUGGUUGAGAAUUAUCAAUUGCCCGUUGCUGAGAGCACUACCAGACUAUGUUUUGGCAGCGCCUCUACAGGAAUUAGACAUAAGGUGGUGCACCAUUCUAAGGAAACGUUACGGGAAGGAGGAGAUGGGUGAAGAUUGGCAAAAGAUUUCUCACUUCCCAAACAUUUAUUUUGAAUAAUAUGUAAGCCUUACCAUUUACUCUAUGUGACCUCUUUACUGUAAAAUCCAAGACCUAUCACUGAUCAUGGCAAGACUCACUCCUCUAUUUCCAGAUCCAAAAAUGUCAAGAUAUUUUUAAUUCUUUAAUUCUAUGAAUAAAAACAUAGAUAUUGAAUUUUUUUUUUAAUCUUUCAUAAAUUGAAUUCAAUUUUCGAAAACUUUCUACAAAUCUAAAUAUGGAUAUUGAAAACGACAUCAAAAUAGGAACUUUCAUAGGUUUCCACACACUCCCAUAUGCCUUGAGCUUAAGCGCAGGUGGACAUCUUUUUUUUCUUUUUCUUUUUUUCCAAGACAAAUGCUGCAACCUAUUAAUCAUCCAUGAGCCAUGUGUGCAUACCGCACGCCUCCUUACAGGGCAUCUUCACUGCCGGACUGGUGGGAUUCAUAUAGACUUCAUAUGUGCUACUUUGAGGCUCCAUAUCUCCGUUUCUAGUGUUCUUGAACUCGUCAGAGAGCUUACACUGCAUGCUAUCUAUAACAACAGAUAUCAAGCACAGACAAUAAAGCAUAAGAAAAUUACAAGACAGAAAAACCAAUUCAUCGUAAUUCAAACGCUGAAAUCUCUCAGCAUACAAGUCCAAUUUACACGCCAUUUCCCAGAUUUAGUGCUCGUGGCAGAUGCACAUGAGGUAAUCAUUUCAUGCUAUUUGAUGCUUUCUAAAGUUACCAUAUAUGUCCAUAAUACGAGUUUGAAACAGAAACUGAUGCAAACAGCCAUAUUAAUCAUCCAUGAGCCAAAAAUUAAGAACUGCAAGAGUAAAAUGAACUGACUUCUUACUGCAAAAUGUGAACAGGCAAACGGUGGAUUUGGAAAUCAAGGGGGCAAGAAAAACCUUGUAAUUCAAAUAGGUGCACAGGCUAGGUGUGACAACCCUUUUAAUUCAUGAUCAGUGUAAAAUAUCUAUGGUUGUGGUAAUGCUAAUUAGAGUUGUUGAAUUAUAUUGCAAUGCAAUUCCAUGAUGUAAAAGUAUUUUUCAACUUGGAUUAAACUCACUUAAUUAGUUUAUUAAUUUGUACAAAAAUAGUUUUAUUUCAUAAAAUCUCAUAAAAUAGAAAUUACAAAUAGUAAUUCAACUCAUAAUUUCAUGCUCUCUCUUAUAUAAAAUUUUAAUUUGAACUAAACUAUUCUUUAUAGAAUGAAGUAUUAUUGCUUUCCAUCUAGAAAUGAAACACAAUAAAUUAUUUCAUAAAACAAUACAUGCAAAAUAAUUCAAUACUACUUAUAAAAGAAAAACCAUUUUAAAGUAUUAAGUCAAAAAUUCAGGAUGUUUUAAAGUAAUCCCUAGUAAUUUUGAUUUUCUCAUAAAUCUAAUUUUAUUGAGUGAAUGAAAGAUUUCAAAUAUAUAGUACGUAGUAUAUAAAUAAUUUUCUGAACCAAAGAAAGAUUUCAAAUAUAUAGUACGUAGUAUAUAAAUAAUUUUCUGAACCAAAGAAAAAACAGAAUUUUAGGAGUGAUUUAAAAUCAUGAACUAGAAUUUAAGUAUUCAAGUUGAGCAUAUUAAAUUUGAAUUCCCAGUCGUUCAAGUGCAUGGGACACAAAUCCUUCUUCAAGAAUCGUUGUGUUUUCUUCCCCUCGGAACCCAUUAAAACAUGGAGCCCAAAAGUAUUUAGAUUGCCCAAUUCACCAAGUCAUAAUGAGAGAACCCAAGCCCAAGCAGAGUACUCUGGGCUAAUUCAUUUUAUUUAGUACUAUGAUUAUUAUAUGCACUCCAUUAAUUAUUAGUUCCACUUCAUUUUGUAGCCACGAUGAUCAAUUAUGCAUAUGACCUCACCUCAACACUAGUUUUGUACCCGCACUCUGCAAUGAGGUGCAUAUAGUGUUUUUUCAGAGCAUCAAAGCAUUGACUAAGAAAGACUGACUGAAUUGAAACAGAACGCAACGAGACUUUUGGGUUUGAAACUAAUCCAGUGAAGACAGCAAAUAACCUUCUUCUUUUUUUUUUGUAAGGGAAGGCAAAUAGAAUGAGUUUAAAGCAUAAUGACUUAAUUGCAAAAUGCAUAUGAAUGCAGUUUUUUGACAAGGGAGUUUGGUGUUCCUGAAGCAGCAACAAUGGCUGCUAAGCUACGCAUAAUUUGUUGUCUUGUUCCCAACAAUGCCAUUCUGAUCCCAAACGCUGCUGAGUCUAGCAUGCUGAUUUCCUCACUAAUUUCGAUCUGAAUUUCAAUUUCCAGAUUUCAUAACCUUAGCCCUUAUUUUAGUAACCAAACAACUCUCUUCCUAUGUUCCUGCAUCUGCAUGUCGACUCUUCACUCUCUGAUUCCUGAAUCUUGAAAAGACUCUUCCUUUGUUUUUCUAGUUGUCUUGCGUUAUGUUUCUAGCUAAAAGAAGAAAUAAGUGACUUAAAUUAUGAAAAAGUAGAAAAAGACAAUGAAAGAAGUGCCUUAAAUCACGUUAAGUUAAGAAAGGAAUGAAAAGAAAAAAAGAAGAAAGGAAGGUGAUGUAGUCCAUACAAAAUGAAUCCUUUCCUCCAGAAAAUCUUGCUCAUUUCUUGUCCUUUUCACACCCAUUUGCUCCCCUUCACAAACAAACCUCCCCAUUUAAAGGAGCUCCAAUCACGCAAACCAGCAAUCCUUCCCAACUUUUUUCCAUGACCACAGCACGCUACUGAUAUCCACACAGCCCCAGCUUCAGACAGCUUCCAUCACGCAGACCCUUUCCUGUUAACACAACCGCAGAGCCUGUAGCUGCCGCCAACAAAACCCCAGCAUCCUCUCCAUGAAUAAACCAAAACACAUCCCUGCUCAUCCACUGAUAACUCCUUAAACUACCCAGAUACAUGACUUCCAAAAGGUAUAUGAUUUUUAAAGUUAAAUGUAACCUCUAAAAGUAUGGAGAGUUGGGGACUUGAAUUAUUCUUUGCACGGUGACAAAUGAAUUCUAGAAUUUAGAUUUUUAUUUCCCAUCUAAAUAUUAAAAUAUUUGACAUUAAAGAUAUUUUAAUAUAUUUUUAAACAAAAAAAUAUAUAUAAAAAAUACUUUACAGCAUAAUUUCAAGCACCAUCAACAAAUCCAAUCAUACAACCUCAACAAAUCUGGACCAUCCAUUUUCAGACCCAAAAUCAAAGAUCAAUAUCAAACCCCAGUCCCUGCUAUGAAAACAGGAUAAAAUCACCAGAUCUCAAAAACCCAGAUAGAUAGAUGCUUGUUUAUAUUUCCAUUACACAAGAACUAAUUGGUUACUAAUUUUGGUUUGUUUAAAUUAGUUUGAAUGGCCAGAUAUAUAUUACAUAAAAUGAAGAGAAGAAAUAGAGAAGCAGGAAUUUCAGUAGAAUGCUAUAAUCAGAUGUCCAUAUCAGAUACAUUCUUAACCUACGGUCAGUAUCAAUAAAAAAUAAUUGCUAUAUAUCGAAGAAGAAAUUACUUUCCACAAAUAAUAAUCCUUAGCCUAGAACUCGGUAGAAUUGAAAAGCACGAGUGUUUCACCUUUGGAACUCAAAAUGGCAUGUCAUUCUCAGUAGAAACAUACAACCAGGACUAGACUGAAAAGCUACAAUAAUAUAGGGACUGAAUUGAAGUGUUAGAAACAGUACAGGGACUGAAACAAAACUCAACCCCCAUCACCAAACCCUAAGUACAUAAACUAACUAAACCAGCAGCCUCCUUCCACUCACACUCUCUUCUCUCUCUUUCUCAGUUCAUCCUAACAUCAUUGUCUAUUUUUUAAAAAUAAUUAAAUUAAACAGACAAAUGGCAGAGGCACUUUUAUCGCCAAUUUUGGAGCAGCUAACCACGGUCGUUGCUCGACAGGUAAUUACUUUUAUACAAUUUGCAAUGAUCUAAUUAACCCUUACAUUAAUAAGAAAUAUAAAAAUGAUCUCUUUUUCUUUCUUUAUAAGAAAAACAAAAUAAAAUAUCAAAUCCUCAGAUCUAGAUUUGGAUUUUAUUAAAGAAAUUUCUAUUUAUUGUUUUAUUAUUUUUCAUAUUUCUGGAAAUAAUCUAAAACAAAUAUUCUUAGAAGGAAAAUGGAGUUGUCGAUCCUCUCAUAAAACUGAACUACUAAGGGUAAAAUAAUCAAUCAGAUGUUAAAAUAAUAAGUUUCAUAAUCUUAUUAUAAUACCAACAAAUAUUUAUUUCCAAAUAGAUUUUACGAAUACCAACAAAUACAGAUCCUUUUAUUCUCAAUAUUUCUUUGAUCCACCAAGCUUAUGUUAUAUAUAGGUUUGACGUUGAACAAUUUAAGAUUCAUUUUCUUCCUUCUUGUAUAGUAGCAGAGUGCAGACAGAGAUAUCAUCAUGAUGAUGAUAAAAAUAAAUAUUAUUAUUUUUAAUAUAUUGGUUUUUAAUAAAUAUUUUAUAUAUAAAUUAUUAAUAUAGCCAAUCCAUUUCACAGUACGUGUCAACUACUGCGAAAAAAAACAGAUUAAUAAAAAUUAUCUAAUCUAUUAAUUACCAAAAAUUAAAAUUAAAAACUUGCAGUGAAAUCAUGGAAAUGUUUCCUCUGCUUGAACUUCUUUAUCUUUUCCACACUAAUAGGUACGAGAAGAGGCCUAGUGGGGGAUGUGAAGAAACAAGUCGACAAGCUGAAAAGCAAUCUCCUUGCUAUCCAAUCUGUCCUUGAAGAUGCAGAUAGACAACAAGUGAAGGAUAAGGCUGUAAGAGAUUGGCUAAACAAGCUCAAAGAUGUAUGUUAUGAUUUGGAUGACGUGCUCGAUGAAUGGAGCACUGCAAUUCUUAGAUGGAAAAUGGAGGAAGCUGAAGAAAAUACUCGCAGCCGACAGAAGAUGCGAUGUUCCUUCCUGAAAUCUCCUUGCUUCUGUCUCAAUCAAGUGGUUCAACGUCGCGACAUUGCCCUCAAGAUCAAAGAAGUUAGUGAAAAAGUGAAUGACAUUGCCAAAGAGAGAGCAAUGUUUGGCUUUGAGUUGUACAGAGUCACUGAUGAACUCCAGCGACUAACAACUACCUCCUUUGUUGAUGAAUCAAGCGUGAUUGGUCGAGAUGGUGAAAAGAAAAAUGUUGUAAGCAAGUUGCUGGCUGAAAGUAGUCAAAAAGCACGGGACGUGGAUGUCAUCUCUCUAGUAGGGCUGGGCGGAAUUGGAAAAACAACUCUCGCCCAACUAGCUUUUAAUGAUUCUGAGGUUACGGCUCAUUUUGAGAAAAAGAUAUGGGUGUGUGUUUCAGAUCCAUUUGAUGAGGUUAAAAUAGCCAAAGCUAUCCUUGAGCAGCUUGAAGGGAGUGCACCGAAUUUGGUUGAAUUGCAAUCCCUUUUGCAAAGGGUUUCUGAAUCCAUUAAGGGAAAGAGGUUCCUUCUUGUCCUUGAUGAUGUAUGGACAGAAAAUCAUGGACAAUGGGAAAAACUGAAACCAUCUCUCACAGGCUGUGCACGAGGAAGCAGAAUUCUAGUGACCACUCGUAAGGACGCUGUGGCAACGAUGAUGGGAAGUACUGGCCACCGGAUCAACAUUAAGGAAUUGUCCGACGAGAUAUGCAGGUCAAUAUUCAAUCAUGUGGCAUUCCAGGAAAGAAGCAAAGAUGAGCGCGAAAGAUUGACAGAUAUCGGCGAGAAGAUUGCAAGCAAGUGCAAGGGCUUGCCUCUAGCUGCCAAGGUAUUAGGAGGUCUGAUGCAGUUUAAAAGAACAAGAGAAGAGUGGGAACGUGUUUUAUCUAGCGAACUGUGGGAGCUAGAACAUGUUGAAAGGAGACUAUUUCCACCUUUGCUUUUGAGUUACUACGAUUUACCUUAUGUGGAAAGACGAUGUUUCUUGUAUUGUGCCAUGUUUCCAAAAGACUACGACAUGCGCAAAGAUGAAUUGGUGAAGAUGUGGAUGGCUCAAGGUUACCUGAAGGAGACAUCAGGUAGAGAUAUGGAGGUUGUUGGAGAGGAGUACUUUCAAGUCUUGGUAGCACGCUCUUUCUUCCAAGAUUUUAAGAAGUAUGGUCUAGAAAAUAUCAGAUUCAAGAUGCAUGAUAUAGUGCAUGAUUUUGCCCAAUAUAUGACAAAAAAUGAAUGUCUAACAGUGGAUGUCAAUACACUUGGAGGAGCAACAGUGGAGACUUCAUUUGAAAGGGUUCGUCAUUUAAGCAUGAUGCUGUCAGAGGAGACAUCUUUUCCCGUGUCUAUUCACAAAGCCAAAGGUCUUCGCAGCCUCUUGAUCGACACUAGAGACCCUUCGCUUGGAGCUGCACUGCCUGAUUUGUUCAAGCAGUUGACAUGCAUCCGGUCAUUGGAUUUGUCAAAGUCUUCUAUCAAAGAAAUACCGAACGAGGUAGGGAAAUUGAUACAUUUGAGACACCUCAAUCUGGCAUCUUGUGGAGAGUUGGAGUCCCUGCCAGAAACCAUGUGUGAUUUAUGCAAUCUGCAAUCCCUAGACGUUACUUGGUGUGGUUCUCUCAAGAAAUUGCCUAAUGCGAUUGGAAAACUUAUCAAAUUGAGGCAUCUCCGGAUUAAUGGUUCAGGUGUGGACUUCAUACCAAAGGGAAUAGAGAGGAUAGCAUGUCUUCGAACAUUAAAUGUGUUUAUUGUGUGUGGUGGUGGUGAGAAUGAAAGUAAAGCAGCUAAUCUAAGAGAAUUAAAAAACUUAAAUCACAUUGGAGGGAGUCUUGGGAUACGGAAUCUACAAGAUGCGAGUGACGCUGCAGAAGCACAACUCAAGAAUAAGAAGCGCCUGCUUCGUUUGGAAUUGGAUUUCGACUACAACCAGGAGAGCGGCAUUUUAAUUGAAGCUUUACGGCCUCCGUCUGACUUGAAAUAUCUAACCAUAUCUAGGUACGGAGGGUUGGAAUUGCCAAGUUGGAUGAUGACAUUAACCAGAUUACAGGAGCUUAUACUGUCUGAUUGUACAAAGCUGGAGGUCAUGCGUCCGUUGGGAAGAUUGCCCAACCUUGAAAGCCUGGUAUUGAGGUCGUUGAAGGUGAGAAGGCUGGAUGGUGGAUUUUUAGGUAUAGAAAAAGAUGAGAAUGCCAGUAUUAAUGAAGGAGAAAUUGCAAGGGUCACUGCUUUCCCCAAAUUAAAAACACUUUGGAUUGGUAAUCUCGAAGAAGUAGAAGAGUGGGAUGGAAUUGAAAGGAGAGUGGGAGAAGAAGAUGUCAACACAACUUCAAUAAUAUCCAUUAUGCCACAACUUCGAUGGUUGACAAUUCUUAACUGCCCGUUGCUGAGAGCACUACCAGACUAUGUUUUGGCAGCGCCUCUACGGGUAUUAGACAUAUGGGGUUGCCCCAUUCUAAGGAAACGUUACGGGAAGGAGGAGAUGGGUGAAGAUUGGCAAAAGAUUUCUCACAUCCCAAACAUUUCUAUUUAUAGUUAAAGAAUAGUAAAGGCACGGAAGUCUGUAGGACCGGCAGGAAGAGGUAUGUUUCAUAUACCUCUUUACUGUAUAUUGUUGACUUUGGAUUGUAUUUCCUACUUACCAUUUAUUCCAUCAAAUGCAGCUGUGAUAUAUAUACCCAUCUCUCUCUCUCUCUCUCUCUCUCUCUCAACAUAUAUAAAAUAAUAUGUAAUUCAUAUGUUCAUAUUUAAAGAAUAGUUAGGACCGGCAGGAAGAGGUAAUUUUUUAUUUAAUUAUUGAAUUAGACUUAAAUUUUACAUGUUAAAAAAUUAAUCUAAGAUGAAAUUAUCUCGCUUAAAUUCUCCAAAUGCCACUCUAAAAAAAUUAUUCUACCAGUGUUAAUUCAACGGUAAAAGAUUUUACCAAAUCUAUUUUAACAAAUCUAUUUUGGGCUCCCCAUUUUUGUCAUUCAGAAAAUGGAAUAGUCAUUUUAACUUUGUUUUUGAUUCUUGACUUUGUUUUUGAUUUACUAAUUCUUCAUUUGUUAACCAAAUGAUUUAUUUUUAUUUUGUUCAGAGUGGCUUCCGAUUUGGUUCUGUGUUGUGAUUUACUUCUUUGAUUGUAUUAAUUAUUUAUUAUUAAAAUAAUAUUUUUUAUUUUUUAAAAAUUAUUUUUAACAUAACAUAUCAAAAUAAUUUGAAAACAUCAAAAAUAUAUUAAUUUAAAAUAAAAAAAUAAAAAAAUUUCAAAAAAUUUUUAAAAUGCUUGCUAGACUUUAAAGUUAAUCUAAAUAAAAUAAAAUAAAAUAAAAGUCAAGCCAUACAUACAAUGAUGCUUAUAUGUGUAUUUUUUUUUUUUAAUGAUCCCAAUACAUAUUUGAAGAAUAAAAAAAUUAGUUCAAAAUUAAAAAAAAAAUUAAAAUCUUUUAAAAAUACAACUAAACUAUGGCACCUAGCACCAGGUACCAUGGGCCAGCGCGCCCAUGGCCAGGCAAGGAGCUCCCCUGAAAAGCAACAUGUAGAAUUUAGGCGUAAUAGAGUGUCUGUAGACACUACUACUUAGGUACUAGCUAUCACGCACUUUAAUAAGUUCAAUUAUUAGUAUUUUUAGCUGAAAUAUUGCACAAAAGCUGGAAAAAGUCCAAUUAAGUGGCUGUUUGGUAUAAUUAUAAUAUAUUAUUUUAGUAUAUAUUAUUAAGACAGCUAUAUUUUAGUAUAUAUUAUUAUAGUAUAAUUAUAAUAUAUAAGUUAUAUUAUUAUAAUUAGCAUUAUAAUAUAUAAGUAUCUCACGACUUUUAGAGUAUUACUUAAUUAAUAUUGAAAAUUUAUAUUUUUAAGAAAUUCAACAUAAUAUACUCAAUGGCUAGAAGCUUGGUGGCCAAUUUCAGAUCAUGAGUUUUCGUUUAUUGUCGAGGAUGAUUUGGAGGUUUCGCCGCUGUUUUAUAAAUUUGCGAGGGGUUUGCUUGCUAUUACAAUGUGUCGAAUUUUAGUCCUUUUAUAUAUGAUAUGGUGCUUCACUUCAGCGUCCACGGUUUGUCCCAGGUACUGCUCUUUUUUCAGGUUUUGUAUUUGUUAGACUGGAUGUUUUCAUGUUCAGUGUUAAGGUUUACAGAUUUCUUGAUUUGUUAAUUAUAUUGGGUUUUGUGCGGAUGUAGUGUGCUUCUCAUGCUAAAACUUGCUUUACAAUUGCUAGGCUGAAAUCCUUUUAGUCUUUUGCUUGUGGCGUAAAUAUAUGUAUCAUGUCCAUAGGAUGCGAAAUCCUUUUAGUCUUUUGCUUGUGGCGUAAAUAUAUGUAUGGUGUCCAUAGGAUGCGAACUUGAAAAGUUUCCAUUUGGUAUUUCGCAAUUGCAUAAGCAUAUGUGAUUAUGACACGUACGUCAAAAACAAUAUGCAUUAAUUUUGUUGCUGGUAGAGAGUGCCAUAUGCAAUAUUUUCUGUCUCUUAUUGGAGCCUUUUUAUGAAAAUUGUGUUAAUUCAACAAUUCUCAUUACAUACCCCUGACCUGAUUUUUUUUAAAAAGAAUUCUUUUACCUUUUUGAGAGUGAUUUUGGUUUAUCUGGUCGCUGAUUGCAGGUAAACAUGGAAACAAAAUACAAUUGGAUAGUGAAACGCAUCUUUUCUUGUACCCAUUGGUUGGUACUUGGCGUCAGAUUCUCUUUCCAAAACCUUGGAAAGAGUUUAGGUUGUGGUACGAUCUGUCACGUUCACACUAGAAGAAAAGAGUUGGAUUAAUUCGAGGAAAUCCACAGCCUCCAAUACUUACUGAUUGCUACUGUUUUCAUGCCUUUCUCAUUAACAUGAAGGACUAAAAUACAACUGGAAAAUAAUAACUGACGAUGCACAUUUCUUGCUCAUUAACAUGAAGAAGAAAGGAAGGUGAUGCAGUCCAGACAAUAUGAAUCCUUUCCUCCAGAAAAUCUUGCUCCUUUCUUGUCCUUUUCACGCCCAUUUGCUCCCCUUCACAAACAAACCUCCCAUUUAAAGGAGCUCCAAUCACACAAACCAGCAAUCCUUCCAAAAAAUUUUCCAUGACCAGCACAUGCUACUGAUAUCAGAUAAACAUAAAAUGAAGAGAAGAAAUAGAGAAACAGAUGACAAGCAGGAAUUUCAGUAGAAUGCUAUAAUCAAUUUCAGGAAUUUCAGUAGAAUGCGAUAAUCUUUCAGUAGAAUUCUCCAGACCAAUCGUGUUAUUAAGUGAAGACCAUGAAUUCAAAACUAUGAUAUCAGAAUCAAGAUAGAUAGCAUAACGAUGAUCAUCAGGAACAACCCAACAAGAAAAAAAAAACAAGAGACAAGUUACCAAAACAUAGAUUCUAAACAUAAGAAAUGGCGCGAUUGAAUCACUACAUUACAUAGUAUAACGAUGAUCAUCAGGAAUAUAAAAUAAAAAUUCUUCUCAACUCGAGCGAAGAGGGUAUUAACUAAUACAUGGUUUCUAGUUCAAGAGCCAGCAUCAAAAUUACUAGAUUAUGAGAUUUAUUUUAAACACCUCAAUGUGAUAGUACAGUGUCCUAUAUGAGAUUCACACAGGAACCAGCAAGAUGUUGUGUCAUUCUAGUCAUACAUGUGAUUGACAUUCCAGAAGGGGGAGAUAUUUUCAAGAAGCGAGCUAAUUACUUGUAGAGAGCAGCAAGGUGAACCGGUUCAAUAUAGUGAACAUAUGUCUUUCACCGCUGAAACCAAACUGGAGUGAAAAUAUGGGUUUUCUCCAUAGCCUUAUCACCUCUAGUCAACCACGGGUCUCGCAGCAAAGGAUACGGGUUCAAGAAAACAAAUUCACUAUUUAUCAAGCCAAUCACCCCACCCUUCUCUUAAAGAUUACAACUUUUUACUUAUCUUUAACAACAAAGCAUCUUCAAUAAUCUUAACUCACUAAGUUUUCUGUUAAUUUCCUCAUCAACAAGAAUAUCAUCACUGCCAAACACGGUCGUACUUUUAUAAUCCUCAACUAAAACCAUUGUAAUAAAAUAAAACAUCGUAAUAUCUUAUCAAUUUCUUAUUCAAAUACCUUAUAAUAGACCUGGUUACAUGAUCCAUGUAAUACCAAGAAUCGAGGGACUUUUCGUUUCUUCUUCUUCGGUGUUUUUUUUUACUUUCAUUUUCGUGAUCUUCUUCUUCUUCUUCUCUAAUGGUGUCUUCUUCAUUGAUAUUGUCGACGCCGAGACUUAGCUUGGGUUUUGAAUGAGGGACAGUGUUGUGUCGAUACCAAGAGUGUUUUUUUAUUGUCGUUUAGAAUUUUUAAAUUAAUUUUCUUUUAAAAAAAGGCAAUUAAAUUACGUGUUUUUAUGAUUUUAAUAUAUUAAUAUGAAAAAUAAAAAAAUCUAAAAGACAUUAUUAUUUAAUAUAUUUUAAAUAAAAAAAACUUUAUACAUCCCUUGUAGACUUAGGUAAAAAAUUAUUUUUUUAAAAAAUAAAUAAUUUAAUAAAAUAAUUGUUUUAAAAAAAUAAUUAAACUUUUAAACUCUGAUCCGAUGAAGUUAAGUUUAAAAAAUUCUGGUUAAAACUGGUUCAAAGCCUUCAUUGAGCCCAAUGUAAAGAGGCCCAACCUGCCGUCAUAAAAGCCCAAUAUUCUCUUCUCCGCCACCACUAUGCCAUGCCUUUUAUAUAAGCAAACGAAUAUGUACGAAGAAGAGCUUAGGCCUACAAAAGGGGAAAAGGGAGAAAAGUUGAUACUGCUUUUUCUUCUAAAUAGACACCGGAUGACUAUUGCACCCUUGUAAUGGUAUCUGAUUCAGCGAAAAGGAGGGUAUUAUGGUAAUUGGAACAACUUAAAUCGAGAAUCUGAACCGUUGUAUUCCUCUGCAAAGAUGCACAUGCUGUUAACCAAUGAUAAAUUAAUGUAUAGCUGUUACAGUUUGUUAUUUAUUAGGACUCCAUUACUGCAACAACUGUUACAAUAUGUUAUUCAUUAGGACUCCAUUACGGUUACAGUUACAGUUUGUUAUUCUUCCUGCAACGUAGAGAAUUCAGUUAGGUUCUGUAUCUAUAUAUAUAUAUGUCUUCUAUUAAUAAUAUAUGUAAGCAAUUCUCUUCCAAAAGCUUCAGCUCUAUCAUGGUAUUAGAGCGUCUCUGAUCCUUUAUUUAUUUUUUUCUCUUUCUCUUCCUACUCUUUUUCGGUUCUGUUUCUCCCUCAUUAACAUCACCAUGUCAACUUCCAUUCCAUCAAAUACGGAAAACCACCUUAUCACCAUAAACACAGCUGCUCAAGCUCCUCUUAAACUCACCUCUUCCAACUAUGCUUCCUGGAAAAUUCAAUUUGAAACACUCUUUAUUGGCUACGAUCUCCUUGGUUACAUCGAUGGGUCCAAGCCGUGUCCCUCACUAACUCUUAUAACAGAUGAUAUCAUUGUUCCCAAUCUUGCCUAUAGUCUCUGGGUGAGGCAAGAUCAACUUCUAUUGAAUGCUAUUGUUGGCAGCCUUUCUCCUCCGCUUAUCUUCUUUGUCGUCCGCACCAUUUCUUCUCAUGAUGCAUGGCAUGUUCUUGCCACAACAUAUGCCAAACCAUCCCGUGGACGUAUCCGCCAGGUGAAAAACCAGUUAAAGAAUCUCACAAAAGGCUCUAUGAGUAUCACAGAUUUUGUCUACUUCAUUAAAGCAAAAUCUGACGAACUUGCUGUUCUUGGUGCUCCUAUGGACACUGAUGAUCUUACUAAACAAAUCCUCGAUGGUUUAGAUGAAGAUUACACAGAACUUGUUCAGGUUGUCCAAGCUCGCGAAGCUGCUAUCUCCUUUGAUGAACUACAUGAGAAACUUCUCUUAUUUGAAGCAUCACUUCAAACACGGUCACAAUCCUCUCGUCUUGGUCCUAUUACUGCCAACUCUUUCACCAAGAACUCAAGCAACAACAAUUGGCGACCCUCAAGAACCAACUGGCGCCCAUUCUUUUCUCCUAUUGGGAACACUUUUCGUUCCCUACCUAUUGCCAACUUUCGACCUGCUACUUUUCCCAAUCAGGUUCGCAAUAAUCAUCUGCCUGCACGUCCUUAUUUGGGCCAUUGCCAGAUGUGUGGCACUCAGGGGCACACUGCUAAACGAUGUCCUUCUUUUCAUUUAGUUCAUGUUCAUGGUUCUAACAUUGCCAACUCCUCCAAUGGUAUGCCAUCCUCCUGGAAUCCCCAAGCCAAUUUUUCUUCUUCAUCUCUAUCCACCGCUGCGUCAUGGUUACUAGAUAGUGGUACUUCCCAUCACGUUACUGCCGACCUCAAUAAUCUUUCUCUCCAUACACCAUAUAAUGGACAAGAUGAUGUUAUGCUAGGCGAUGGUACCAAUCUUCCUAUAAGUCACACUGGUUCAGUAUCUCUUCCCACAUCUAACUCUUUUUUCCAAUUACAAGAUGUUUUGUGUGUUCCCAAAAUGCAAAAAAAAUUAAUAUAUAUUGCAUUAUUCUGUAUCACUAACAAUGUGUCAAUUGAAAUUUUUCCUCAUUGUUUUCAUGUGAAGGACCUACAAACGAGGGACAUUCUUCUGCAGGGCGGCACUAAGGAUGGUAUUUAUGAAUGGCUAGUUGCCAUCUCUUCCACUCCUCCCAUUCUAGCUUUCUCUGUUGUCAACAAUGUCCAUUUGGCACCGGCGCUUUGGUCAUCCAGCCUUCACAAUUCUUAAACAUAUUAUGUCCUCCUAUCAUUUAAAUUUUUCUUCUCAAAAGAAUUUCUGCUGCAAUGCUUGCUUAAGUAAUAAAAGUCAUAAACAACCAUUUUCUGUGUCUAUUUUGCUCACUACUCGUCCUCUUCAAGUUGUAUUUUCUGAUGUUUGGACUUCUCCUAUUAUUUCACACGAUGGUUAUAAAUACUAUGUUAUCUUUAUUGAUCAUUUUACAAAAUACAUUUGGUUAUAUCCAUUAAAACAAAAAUCUGAUGUCCAAAUAGUGUUUCGACGCUACAAAGCAAUUGUUGAAAAAUAUUUUCAACAAACCAUUAUUUCUCUUUAUUCUGAUAAUGGUGGUGAAUACAUUGCUCUCAAACCAUUUCUUUCAGAACAUGGGAUUAGUCAUCUCACGUCUCCACCACAUACACCUGAACAUAAUGGUUAUUCUGAACGGCGACAUCUUCACAUUGUCGAAACUGGUCUUGCCCUUUUUUCUCAUGCCUCAAUUCCCACUACCUUUUGGACUUAUGCCUUCACCACUGCUGUUUACCUAAUUAACAGGAUGCCAACUCCCACAUUAAACAUGUCUUCACCAUAUGAGUCAAUUUUUCACAAGAGUCCUAAUUUUUCUAAACUUAAAGUGUUUGGCUGUUUAUGUUAUCCUUGGUUGGGUCCAUAUGCAUCUCAUAAACUUGAUUUGAAAUCUCAACCCUGCGAUUUUCUUGGAUACUCCCUUUCUUAGAGUGCAUAUCUAUGCCCUAACAAAUCCACUAACAAACUACAUGUUUCACGGCAUGUACAAUUUGUUGAGUCAGUUUUUCCUUAUAAGUCUUAUCCUACUGCAACUUCAAAUUUUCCUUCCCCCGUGUCUGACUGGAUGCCUUCACCUAUUUUUGUCUCAUCUCAAACCCCACAACAACUGGCUCUUUCUGCUCCUUCCUCACAAUGUCAUGCAGAUGCAUCUCCUUCUAUGGUCUCUUCAUCAAGUCCUCCAACUCAUGCCGAAGCAAUUCCUUCCAUCAUUUCUACUCCACAGGUACCUACUUCCCCCUCUCAUCAUAAUCCUUCACUUCCAGCUCCAUCUCUACCUGUUCCACCACCACCACAACAUUCCCAACACCCUAUGAUCACUCGGUCCCGGAAUAAUAUCCACAAACCAAUCCAGAAACUCAGUCUUCACACUACUAAACCAGUCAUCUUUCAAACAGAACCUUCCACCUCCUCUCAGGCACUUAAAGAUCCAAACUGGCGAUCUGCUAUGUCUGAGGAAUAUGAUGCUCUAGUAUGCAAUGACACAUUGGAACUUGUUCCUCCUAAUGGUAUCACUAACGUUGUUGGUUGCAGGUGGGUUUACCGCAUUAAAAGACAUUCUGAUGGUUCUAUAAACAGGUUUAAAGCACGACUUGUUGCAAAAGGUUUCCACCAGCGUCUCGGUGUGGACUAUCAUGAGACUUUCAGCCUCGUUGUGAAGCCAACAACUAUCCGCUUGGUACUCAGCCUUGCUGUCAGCCGCGGAUGGUCACUUAAACAACUGGAUAUCAACAAUGUUAUCGCACGUGUGCAGCGUCACGACGAUCAUCCACCCUCAAUUGUAUGGAUAUAUAUCUAGUAAAUACGGGGAGACACGAAAUUCUUUGUCUCUUAGCAGUAAAAAAAAUGGAAUGGAGUCGCCACCUAGUAUUAUGGUCACUAGGAACCCUAAUUGGUCUCAGAGAUCGGGUACGGAGACUGGUUGCGUAAAGGGAAGGUAUUAGCACCCCAAAUACGCCCUACCUAAGGUAAGCUGCAUUGUUUUAUUUGUCUGAUCAAAAUCUAAGGUUUGGUCGUGUUUUCUAAUUGUUGGUCUUGUCUAUCUAAGAUUCAAGAAAAGCCCUCCUCAAUAAGAAGGUUCUUAUCUUAAUGGGGUAGAACCUAACCGUUCUAACGUUGGAAAAAGAUUUAAUAUCCGGAAUACGUAUUACGUGUCAUAUCGUACCCUGGAUACUAAAAGACAAACAAAAUAAAAUUUUUUAUUGUUUUUGAAAUUUUGGCUAAUGUUCUCUUGACUUUAAUAAACUGGUUAUUAAAGCCAAAAUGCAUGUUAAAACAUUAUUUUUUUGUUUAUAAAAAACACAAUAUGAUUUUUUAGCUUUGAGACACUUGGCCGUAUGCACAAAAAUAUUUUUUCUUUUUUUCAAAGUUUUUUGUAUUUUUGAAAGUUUUGACGAAAACCGGGUAUUUUAAUAUCAAAUUUUGUAUUUUUAGCAACAUAAAAAUACUGCUUGAUAUUAAUCAAAAUGACAAAAAAAUACGCAGGAAACUUGUAAAAUUACAAACAAAUAUUUUUGAAUUUUUCUUUUAACAAAAAAAGAAAAAAAAUUGGGUCGGAUCUGGCCCAUCCAUCCUGGGCUGGGCCUGACCCGGCCCAUAUACUGUGGGCUGGGCUGAUGUGCCAGCCCAUAACAAAUAAAAGGACUGGUUACUGUGCUGCGCACAGUAACCAGCAAAAAUAUAAUUAGCUAGUUAAUCUUCAUUUUGCUGCAGAACGUAAACGUUCUGUAAAAUGAAGCUGAAGCACAAAACGAUGGGGGAGGGGAGAAAGUUACCUGGAGCGGUGGCGACGCUGGCGGCAGCGGAUGCGACAGGGGUGGUGGUGUAGGCGGCGACUGUUCUCCUUCCUUCUCUCCCGUCUCCUCUGUUUCUCUUCUCAGCCACCCUCUCCUCUGCCUUUUUUUGUUUUCUAACUUUGGACACAAAAGAAAAAAAUUAUAUCGGAGCCCAAUCAUUGCUCCACCAUGCACACAUGCUUAACCACCUAAAAGAGAACGGUGCGACGCUUCCAACACUAUAAUGGAAAGCGGUGCUUGGCCAUCGAGAGAUGCCACAUGUGUCAUUCAAGGAGCAUUGAUACCUCCCACUCUCUGACACGUAUUGCACGUGUCAACCAGUUUUUAUUUUUAUAUAUAUGUUAAAAGACUAAAUUUUUUCUCAUUUACAUUGAUUAUAACUAAAAAGCCAUAAUGAAAAUAUAAAAACACACCUGGACACAAGUUUUAAUUUUUUUUCCUUUUAAAAGCAAUGUAGUCAUUUAACUAUGCUAGCAAAACGUAAAAAGAAAUAACCCCUUGGACCUUAAUUGUAAAAAAAAAAAUUUAAGACUGUUUAAGUAAUUUUACUGUGCAUUUGAAAUGGUAAAAGAUCUAUUGUCCCUAAUUAAUACGAGAAUGACAAAUGAACCAUGUAAAAAAGACUAAAUUACCCCUAACAGCUAGUUAAAUGACUUUUUUAGAAGGGCAAAAUAGUCAUUAUAUUUUUUUAUUCCACAACGAUGAGUUUAGGGAUACAGUGAAACGUUGAUGGCUUUUUAUUUUUUAUAUUUACUAGAACAAUUUUUAAGGAUAUUAUAGUUAAUUUUUAAGGAUAUUUUAUAUAUUCAUAAAUUAAAUGUUAAUGAAAAUUAAGAAAAGAAAAGAAUUAAAUUAUCAAUAAUGAUUGAUGAGAAACAAAAUUAAUGUAAUGUAUAUUUUGAAUAAUAAAUUGAGAUGAAGAUAUAAAAUAUUUUUUUUCUAGAAUAAUUUUGAUUCUUUUAAAGUGCAUUUAUAUAUAUAUAUAUAUAUAUAUAUAUAUAUAUAUAUAUAUAUAUAUAUAUAUAUAUGCAGUCUCUCUAUUUUCAUUAUCUGUAUUUUUUAUAUUUCAAGACAAGAAUCAAAUGCUACAUACAAAUAUUAUACAUUAUAGAAAGAAGUAUAAUUUUAUUCUCUCUAAUUCUCAGUCCACCCUUUUCAAGAUUUAAAAUUAAAAUCUCCUCAUAAAAAACCUAAAUCUUAACAGUUAGAUUGUGGAUUUAGUAAUUAAUAUUAAAUUCUGUCCUUGUUGUUUUGUAAUUUAAUGCUAAGUUGCUAACUAUACUCUUAUAAAUUCUCGUACACAUUCAAGAAAAAAACAAAACCCUAAAGUAAACCAUUAGUGAGGUUGGAUUCCUUCCUUUUAUUUAUAAUCGUUUAAAACCAAACCCUUCUCUUUCUUCCUUCCAUCGAAAUAUCAACUUCGUUUAGAAUUUGAUUGCUUGUCGUUUUCAUUGUGCGGCAUUCCAAAAUUACUGAUUCGAAACCACAUCUUCAACAAAAAUAAUCAUCCACAUGCUUCAUCUGUGGAUGACAAAUUCUAGGAAUCUCAGCUAAUUGUGAGAACUGCUGCGACAAACCUAUGAAAGAUGUCAGGGAAGGAUUAAGAAAGCUAGCUAUUUCAACGAAAAAACUAUUUACUAGGGCUAAAAAACGAAAGAAAGCCUGCUUUUUUGUUCUUAGAGGGAAGGGCAAGGGCCAAGGUUGAUUGGACUUGAUAUAAAGAUGAUGUCUAAUAAAAAUGCCAUUGAUGGCCCUUUUUGCAGGCUGUGAUUCAAGGGCCGCGAUCAUUUUUGGAUGCUGAUUUUGUUUUUAGUAAAAAAUUAAAAUCUAAUAAUUCUAAAACUUGGAAAAAAAUUUCUAAGGUUUUAAAAAAAUUCUCAUCGAUAAAUUUUUUUUAUUAAAAACUAAUUAUUGUAAAAGCUGAAACAGAGAGAAGAGCAGCUGCUGGGAACCCAAAAAGGAUGAUUUUGUUUUCUAACUUUGGACCCGAAAAUCCCCCCUGUUUCUGCUUCUUUGUAAACCUCCCCUGUCUCUUUUCUCAAAUUUGUUCCUCCCUUCUCUAUUUUUUUUUCUUCUUCAAGUUUGUUUCUCAAAAGUUUUGCCCCCUCUGGUUUCUCUCUCUUUUUUGUUUUUGCAGCUUGCCUGUCUUCCCCUGCUCUUUCCCUUUUUUUUUCUCCAAAGAAAAUUGUUGGUCUCUCUCUCGGUCUCCCUCACUUUCUCUUUAAAAAAAUCCUUCCAGCUCUCCCUUCUUGAUCUCCCCCCCUAUUCUCCUGCACUCCCUCUGUAUUUAUAGGCAGAGGGAGAGAGGGCCACCAUGCCCUAUCCUGCCAUUAUGCAGGGCAUGGCAUGGUGGCAUAGGGGUGGCUACUCCACAGCCGCCCCUACCUCUGUAGGGCAUGGGUCUUUUGGUGUGAAGGCGUGGUGGUGUCAGUGAAGGGACAAGUCAGGUCGUAGUUGGUUUUUUGGUUUUUGGGAGAGAGAAAGGAGAGAAAAAAAUAGGGGGAAAAAUGCUUCUUCUUCCCCUGUUCUCUGCGCGUCCAGGGGAAGAAGCAGGCUUAUGGUGCCGUUCAAAACGGCACCGUUUGCUCUUUCUCUCUCUUUUUUUUCCAGUGAAAUGCAUGAAACGACGCCGUUUUGACCAAAACGCGUCAUUUCAUUUAAACGAAAACUGGCGCCAAAAUGGGUCAAUUUGCGCGCUUUUUCACUAUGGUCCUUGGUUUUGGAUUUCUUCAAUCGAGUCCCUAAUUGGCCACCAGACUUCAAUAUGUAUGCAAUUAAGCCCCUGAUUUGACCAAAUCAACUCUUAAAAAUUAUAAUUUGACCCCAGAACUUUAAUUUCUUCCAAUUAAAACCCAAAUUGACUUAAAAAUCAAUUUUUCUUGCGAUCAAACCCUCCAUAAAUUCAAUUAAACUUUCAAUAAAAUUUAAUUGAGCCCAUAUACAUCUGAUUUUGUACAUUUCUUCCUCAAAUAAAAUUUUCUUUAUCAAUAGGGCUCUCACCGGUCAACGAUAUACUGUCAAAUUUCAAUCCUUGUAUUUUUUGAUCCUCCUCAACCAAUUUUUGACCAUUUUCGGGGCGCUCUAGCAUCCUCUUUUCACUGCUAUUAUUUUUUUAUUUUUUUUAUUUUGUGCGGGGACCAAAAAAUGGGUUACAACAAAUGCUUUCCUUCAAGGUCAUCUUUCUGAAACCGUUUACAUGGCGCAACCUCCUGAAUUUGUUGAUCGCGAAAAACCGUCAUUUGUUUGCAAACUCCACAAAGCCAUUUAUGGACUCAAACAGGCGCCCCGGGCUUGGUAUCAUGAAUUGCGCACAUUUUUGUUGGCUUCUGGUUUCCGCAAUUCCCACUCUGAUCCUUCUCUGUUCAUAUUUAACAGUGCUCAGCAUGUUUUGUUUUUACUGGUUUACGUGGAUGACAUUAUUGUCACAGGCAGCGAUGACGACAUUCUAUCAGAUUUUGUUUCUAGCCUUGCCAAACGUUUUUCUCUUAAGGAUCUUGGCAAUUUGUCCUACUUCUUGGGUGUUGAAGUUCUUCCUCACAAACAGGGUAUUCUACUCUCUCAACGCAGGUACAUUACUGACCUGCUAACUCGUCUCAACAUGCUGGACGCAAAACCAGUGCUCACUCCAAUUCCAAGCUCUGCAUCUGCUAUUUCAUUGCUGUCUGACUCGCCUUUAUAGAAUCCCACUGUUUAUCGUGAAGUUGUAGGGAGUCUUCAGUAUCUUUCUCUUACAAGACCAGAUGUGUCAUUUGUUGUGAACAAACUAUCUCAGUUCAUGCACAGCCCAACCGAUGACCACUAGAUCCUUGUUAAGCGAAUUAUGUGAUAUCUUAUUGGUACACUAAACAAGGGCCUUCUUCUGCACCGUGACUCGCCCUACAAUCUUCAUGCCUUCGCUGAUCAACUUCAUGCCUUUUCAGAUGCCGAUUGGGCUGGCAAUAAAGAUGAUUAUUCAUCCACCAGUGCUUAUCUAGUUUACCUUUGGAGUAAUUUAAUUUCAUGGAGUUCAAAUAAACAAAAGACCAUUGCCAGGUCUUCAACAGAGGCUGAGUAUCGCUCCGUUGUUGCCACUGCUGCUGAGCUCUGUUGGGUACACUCUCUACUUCAUGAACUUGGUGUUGCUCUGUCUUCUUCACCUGUGAUAUACUGUGACAACAUUGGAGGAACUCAGUUAAGUUCCAAUCCUAUUUUUCAUUCUCGCAUUAAACAUGUUGUCGUUGACUACCAUUUCGUCCUAUUUUCAGGGAUAAUAUAAAAAAUUUCAUUAAAUUUAAAAAAAUGAUGAAAUCUCGUAUCUUCAGGAUUCACGUCAAAGUUUUUGUUAAAAUUCAAGAAAUUGUGAAAUAUAUUAUCUUUAAGGAUUAAUGUAAAAAAAAUAAAAAGUUAAAAAACUAGUGAAAUCUCCUAUUUCAGAAAUUAAAGAUAACAAAAUUUUCGUUAAAAUUCUUUUAUAUAUUAAGGCCAGUGCCAUAAAAUGACAAGCUAUGAAAUCUUAGAUUUUUAGGGUUUAACGUUAUUUCGACAAGUUUUUUUAUUUUUAGAAACCGAUAUUUAUUUUUAAAUAAAUCAUAAAUAAAAUCAGAAUAUAAUAGCAUAAAAUAACUUAGAAAAACAAAAGUAAUGGUAAUUUUUUAUUUGAAAAGAUAUGAUAAGGGUGGUGUUAACCUGAUAAGGGUGGUGUUAAAAAGAGAGGCAACAACGGAGAAGAAGAAAUAAAAAAGACAUAAAAGCACAGUAUCUGCAACAAGAAGAAGGAAGGAGAAAACAGGAUCAGACAAUAGAUAAAAAUGAGAAGUCAACUUCUAUUAUCCCCGAAAAAGAUCUCAAUGAGAAGUCAACUUCAAUUUCAUUUUUCAACCUACAAGUUGUGCUGAUCUUCCUUUACCACAGUCCUACAAAAACUAAUAAAAAAAUGUUGAGACACUAAAAUACAAGCUUCACCUGCAACGCCAAACCCUAAGUAUAUAAACUAACUUCCAUUCACAAUCAGCCGCCUCCUUCCCUUCACCCUCUCUUUCUCUCUGCUCAUCCCAUCAUCAUUGCUUCUCUCUCUCUCUCUCUCUCUUUCCAAUCAGAACUAAACAGACGAUGGCUGAGGCACUUCUAUCUCCGAUCUUGGAGCAGUUAACCACAAUCGUUGCUCAACAGGUAUUUUUCUACCAUCUGCAAUAACCUGAUUUACCUAGCAGAGAUAAGAAAUAUAUAUAAAGUUCAAGCCUUUUUUCUUCCUAUCAUAAAAAGAAUACUUUUAACUUGAAUAAAUAAAAAUAAUAUUUUAAAUCCUCAAGUAUAUAUUUGGAUUUUAUUAAAGAAUCUUCUUUUUCUUGUUUUAUUAUUUUUCAUAUUUCCAAAAAUAACAUAAAGAAAAUAUAUCAUUCCAAAUAUAGGAAAACCGAAAAAGGCAAAACAAGAGAUGCCAAUUCUCUUUAAACUUAACUAUUAAGGGUAAAAUAAUCAAUAAAAAGUUCAAAGGAUUAGCGAGCGAGUAUUUGGUGUGAAUUAACACACAAUCUUAUUAUCAUGCCUUUAUUUCACAAAUUAUACAUACAGAUCCUUUAAUUAUUCACUUGCAUUUAUACAUCCAUAUAUCUAUAGUUUAAUGUAAAAUGAAAACCAGAUUUUAUGUCGGUUCAAAGGAGAAAUCCUUCUCUCGUGAGAACAAUGAACUCUUUCCAUACCUAUAUUAAUUAUAUAUAUAUACACGCACAGGUUUAACGUUUUACCAUUUAAGAUUCAUUUUAUACCUUCUUGUACAGUAGCGUAGUGCAGACUGAUAUCAUCAUCAUGAUGAUAAAAAGAAAAAACAAAUAUUAUUAUUUCUAAUAAAUAUUUUAUAUAUAAAUUAUUAAUAUAGUAAAUCCAUUUCACAAUAAAAUAUAUUAAUACAAAAUAGAAAUGUUUCCUAUGCUUGAACUUGUAUUUUCUACACUAAUAGGUACAGGAAGAGGUGAACCUAGUAGGGGGUGUGAAAUUGUCAUAGAAAUGUUUCCUAUGCUUAACGUUUCUUUUCCUUUGUACACUAAUAGGUACAAGAAGAGGUGAACCUAGUAGUGGGUGUGAAGAAACAAUGUGACAAGCUGAAAAGCAAUCUCCUUGAUAUCCAAUCUGUCCUUGAAGAUGCAGAUAGAAAACAAGUGAAAGAUAAGGCUGUAAGAGAUUGGCUAGACAAGCUCAAAGAUGCAUGUUAUGAUAUGGAUGACGUGCUAGAUGAAUGGAGAACUGCAAUUCUUAGAUGGAAAAUGGAGGAAGCUGAAGAAAAUACUCACAGCCGACAGAAGAUACGGUGUUCCUUCCUGGGAUCUCCUUGCUUUUGUUUCAAUCAAGUGGUUCGACGUCGCGACAUUGCCCUGAAGAUCAAAGAAGUUCGUAAAAAAGUGGAUGACAUUGCCAAAGAGAGAGCUAAGUAUGGCUUCGAUCUGUACAAAACCACUGAUGAACUCCAGCGACUAACAACUACCUCCUUUGUUGAUGAAUCAAGCGUGAUUGGUCGAGAUGGUGAAAAGAGAAAUGUUGUAAGCAAGUUGCUGGCUGAAAGUAGUCAAGAAGCACGGGACGUGGAUGUCAUCUCUCUAGUAGGGCUGGGAGGAAUUGGAAAAACAACUCUCGCCCAACUAGCUUUUAAUGAUGCUGAGGUUACGGCUCAUUUUGAGAAAAAGAUAUGGGUGUGUGUUUCCGAACCAUUUGAUGAGGUUAAGAUAGCCAAAGCUAUCCUUGAGGAGCUUGAAGGGAGGGCAUCCGAUUUGGUAGGAUUGCAAUCCCUUUUGCGAAGGGUUUCUGAAUCCAUUGAGGGAAAGAGGUUCCUUCUUGUCCUUGAUGAUGUAUGGACAGAAAAUCACGGACAAUGGGAACAACUGAAACCAUCUCUCACAGGCUGUGCACGAGGAAGCAGAAUUCUAGUGACCACUCGUAAGGACGCUGUGGCAACGAUGAUGGGAAGUACUGGCCACCGGAUCAACAUUAAGGAAUUGUCCGACGAGAUAUGCAGGUCAAUAUUCAAUCAUGUGGCAUUCCAGGAAAGAAGCGAAGAUGAGCGCGAAAGAUUGACAGAUAUCGGCGAUAAAAUUGCAAACAAGUGCAAGGGCUUGCCUCUAGCUGCCAAGGUAUUAGGAGGUCUAAUGCAGUCUAAAAGAACAAGAGAAGAGUGGGAUCGUGUUUUAUCUAGCGAACUGUGGAGGCUAGAUGAGGUUGAUAGAGAUCAAGUUGAACGACGAAUAUUUAUACCUUUGCUCUUGAGUUACUACGAUUUACCUUCUGUGGUAAGACGAUGUUUCUUGUAUUGUGCCAUGUUUCCAAAAGACUACGAGAUGGACAAAGAUGAAUUGGUGAAGAUGUGGAUGGCUCAGGGUUACCUCAAGGAGACUUCAGGUGGAGAUAUGGAGCUUGUAGGAGAGCAGUACUUUCAAGUCUUAGCAGCGCGCUCUUUCUUCCAAGAUUUUGAGACGGAUGAGGAUGAAGGAAUGACAUUCAAGAUGCAUGAUAUAGUGCAUGAUUUUGCCCAAUAUAUGACAAAAAAUGAAUGUCUAACAGUGGAUGUCAAUACACUUGGAGGAGCAACAGUGGAGACUUCAAUUGAAAGGGUUCGUCAUUUAAGCAUGAUGCUGCCCA
RNAcentral lists this long non-coding RNA (73389 nucleotides) under Populus trichocarpa (black cottonwood). RNAcentral describes it as "long non-coding RNA (PTRI_LNC002966)". The record is from RNAcentral. Lineage: Eukaryota; Viridiplantae; Streptophyta; Magnoliopsida; Malpighiales; Salicaceae.